This 49612-nucleotide long non-coding RNA is filed under the name Phoenix dactylifera (date palm). RNAcentral describes it as "long non-coding RNA (PDAC_LNC007747)". Lineage: Eukaryota; Viridiplantae; Streptophyta; Magnoliopsida; Arecales; Arecaceae. The record is from RNAcentral.
UCUACAGGAUAUUCCCCUAGAAUAUUUAGGGUCAUAAAUAGCAAAUGUAAUCUAGCUCAAAUGAGGGCAUCAUCACAGCAGCCAUCCAUGCAGUGUUCCCUUUCUGAACAAAAUCCAUCCAUCAUACAUGCCAAAUGCCAUUCUACACCUCUACAUAAAGCACCGAGACCAGAUUUUCUUCCACUUGUACCGUAAUUAACCACAAGAACUAACUAGCUUACCUUUUUUCCUGUUUCCCAUGGUUGAGACUGGAAAAGACUCAGCAAAUUCUCUUCUGCACCUUCAUCAGAUUUAUUUUCAGAUGCCAGGCCUACUCAAAUUUAUUUUCCUAUAGAGAAAAAAGCUUAUACUCAAAAUACAAGGAGGAAAAAAUAACGAUUUCCUUGCAGGUGACAGUCACCAUUCUCAUGCGUGAUCAUUCCCUGACAAAGGAAUUCAGUGCCAAAAGAAACAGCAAUACUAAGCAAAUUUGUCACAAUACCAUCUAAGUUAAAACGUUUUUUGGGAAAAUCACUUAUUACAGCCAGAUACAAAAACUUCUUAUGGUAAAAGCCGUCUCAGCUUAAGAAGCAUUAAGUACUAGUCCACAUUGAAAGAUCCGUCACUCGAAGGGCACUAGAAGGUAGAGAGAACAAGAUUUGUUUUCAAGCAUCAUCCAGAGCAAGAACCCCAGGAAGAGACUUUCCUUCAAGUAGCUCCAAGCUCGCACCACCUCCAGUAGAUAUGUGGCUCAUCUUGUCAGCAAGCCCCAUCUUCUCUACAGCAGCGACAGAGUCGCCACCUCCUAUGAUGGUUGUGACCCCCUUUCCACUCAGGUCAGCCAACUUCUUAGCAAUUGCCUGAACAAAUGAGAAAAUGUUUAUACUCCAAUAUUCCUUCAUCCUUAACAAGAAAAUCUAUUUAGCUAACCGGAUGAGAGAAGUAGAACCAAAAACAGAGCAACCGGUUCCAUGUAAUAACCAAACAUUAAAUGAUCCAAAGAGUUUGUGUUAGGUCGAGACUCUGGUUCUAGAAUUAUACAACUUCCAUGGAUCAUGCAAUAGCUGCCUCAUUUGUUUUUUUCUUCAGUUCGUCAUCUCUUUACCAAGUGCAGGGUAGGAUGAGAAAUCUUUUGAUUAUUUUACACGGACUAAUAUCUGAUGGGUACUAUUAAUUCAUGUAAAUCCUUUUAUCUAGGAUAGGCUUAUUUUGUCAACUUAUGACAACAAAGUUAAAACAUUUUCAUCAAAAAAAGAAGAUAAUAAGAAUUGAUACAUUUACUUUCAUAUUUUCAUAGAGGACCUAAUUGUGUAGUAAACCACUUCAUUCAGGACCAAACUGGAAUUCAACAAAAAUCAGCCAAUUCGAUAAAUAUGGAUCAUAAGGGUCAAGAUAUUGCACAAAAAAUACGAUUUGAGCAUAUAAGGUCACUAUAUCAAAAAACAAAGAAACUAAAAAGCACCCCCACUAACCCCAUCUAAGUAUAGCGCGAGAUACUGUGGGCAUUUGCAACAUAGAAGCACUGAGAGAGCAGCUUAGAAUUAAGGUCUGCGAGGUUGGUGAAGAAGGAUAAGAAUUCUAGAGUGGAAUUUUAAGCUGCUUAUACACCCACACAAUGUGUAGCCCUUUAGUAUUGCAGCAAAGAAAGAAAUCAUAAAUGGCAAGCCAUAGAUACUUUCAGAAAUAUCAUGAUAAGUAAAAUAUUAUAAAGGUUACUAUUACUUUACCUCUGUUCCCACUGCAAACUUCUCAAAUUCAAACACUCCCAUUGGCCCGUUCCAGAUGAUAGUCUUGGUGCUGUCCAAAGAUUCACUGAAUGUCUUGAUGGAGUCAGGUCCAAUGUCAAGCCCCAUCCAACCAUCAGGAAUGCCAGAUGCUGGUACAACCUGCAAAAUAAAAGGAAAUCUUGCAUCUGAAAAUGUAUUUUUACUCCCUGAUGGCCCUUGGUACUUGGUUCCCAAAUAUGGUAUGACGAAUACAGGGUUACAUAGGAUAUAUGCAAGAAUCAACUCCAUUAAUUACCAGCUCGGGAAAGAAUGUUUCACUGCAGUUGAAGUAACAUCAGUGCAAGUAGUCAAGUCAAAAUAACUCUUUCAUACUGGUUUCGACUUUGGCAACUUCAAAAAUCUAAUUCAAAAUCGUGGCAACAGGAGUAUGUGUCCUAUUCAGAGAAAAAUCAUCCACAAGGUCUGCAUAUGAUAACUAUGACAUGGGCAUAAAAAAAUAAAUAAAACAAACCCUGAAAAUAUGAUAGACCAAUGGAAAAUUAAAUAGCAAAGCUCAAAUAAGAUAUUUUAAAAUGCAAGAAUUACUUUUGCAUAAAAAAAUAAUAGUAAAACAGAGAAGAACCCAUACAAGAAAUAGGCUUGGAAAUAUUUCCUUCUUUUAAAUUUUUAGGCCUCUAGUUUUCUUGAGUUUGAAACAUAUAGGUGCUACUUAAAUAUAAAACAAGAGUAGGUGGACAUACCUUGCUGUCUGCAUCAGCAGCAAACUUGUCAGCAACUACAACAUCGGUGGGCAACAGCAGAGACACCCCUUUAGACUUUGCUUUCUCAAGUAGCGCAGUUGCAAGAUCGAGCUGGUCUUCAACAAGAGAUGACCCAACUGGAUGCCCUUGUGCCUUGUAAAAUGUAAAUAUCAUUCCUCCACCAAGGAGAAGAAUAUCAACCUUCUCCAGCAGUGACUCAAUCACCCCAAUCUUGGUUGAUACCUUUGAGCCACCAACUAUGGCAGCGAAGGGCCUCUUGGGGUUUGCUACUGCCCCAACAAGAUAGUCAAGUUCCUGAGACAAUGACAAAUUUAUUGGAGGCAAACACUAAAAGCUAAAUAUCAAGAUACAGACCAAAUAGAUAGUCAAGUUCCUGAGACAAUGACAAAUUUAUUGGAAGCAAACACUAAAAGCUAAAUAUCAAGAUACAGACCAAAUAGUCCUUGCAAAUAUGUAACUUUAGCAAUGAUCUUCACAAUGAAGAAAGAACAUCAAUUUUCAGGUUGACAUAUCAAUGGAACAAGAAAUGAAACUUUUAAUUCUAACCAAUGAUGUCAAAUAUGUCCAAUAAAAUAAAAAAGAAUAUGCAUAUAUACAUACUAUUUAAUUACAUACAUAUAUUAGAAGCUGGGAGCUUGUAUUGAUAAAAUAAAAUGUCAGAUUUCACCAUACCUUCUGCAUAAGGAAACCAGCAACAGCUGGCUUCAAGAAUUUGGCAACACCCUCUGUUGAGGCAUGCGCCCUAUGAGCAGUGCCAAAAGCAUCAUUCACAUAAAGGUCGGCAAGGGAUGCUAGUUUCUUUGCAAACUCUGGAUCAUUUUUCUCCUCUUCUUUAUAAAAUCUCACAUUUUCAAGGAGCAAAACACCUCCAUUCGGCAAUGCAGCCACCAUUUUCUCAACUUCCUCACCAAUACAGUCAUUGGCCAUCUCAACCUAUUUGAGAGCACAAAAUUAACAUUCUAAGCUUCACUGAAUACAUUCUUUAAAAAUAUGCUGAAUGACAGCACAUCAUACAUACACUGACUCCAAGUAGUUCAGAUAGCCUGGGCACCAGGGGUUUCAAGCUGUACUUAGGAGUAACACCUUUAGGACGCCCCUGAAAAGUGAAAAACCAUGUCAAUCAGUUAUUCCCACAUCGACAGGCCCAAAAGGACCCCAAAAAAAAUCAAGAAAAGAGGGAUUACAGCAUGAAAUAUAAUAAUGAGAAUGAAUCAAAGCGCUCAUGGAACAGUUCUUUGCGGCAAAUUGUAAUAUCACCCAGCUAAAGAAAUGAAUGACAUUAAAAUAAAAAAAAUAAAUGUGAAAUCUCUGAUACACAAGGCACAUAUACUGAUAAAUGGCUACUACGAUAAAAUAAAAUACAAGAUAAUUGCAGAGGACUAGAACAAUGUACAAUGGCAUCAACAAAAAAAUUUAAUGAAAAGAACAAUGAUAAAUGAUUUAACCAUAAUACAAUGACUACAAACUGCAUCCCUGCCAUCAAAUGGCCAGUAAAAUACAAAUAUAAAAUAGGAAUAAGUAGGCUACAAGCUCAAUUUAAAGGUUGCAAAUGGAAAAUUUGCAAUAGGAUUAGGAAGAGAAGGACUUGCAACCCUUUCAAACUAGAUGAAAUAAAAUGCUUCAAUUAAACCAGGUUAUUUUAUCAAACAUGCUCAGUUAGGAAGGCUAUAACUAGAAAUUGCACCCCACACAUAACAAAACAAAAGCACAUAAAAAAAAAAAAUGUUAAAAAUUUGCAAUAAUGCACAUGUGAGUGCAUCUAUUGUACUAGUUCUUAUGAUGUAGCCAUUUGACGAGCAUUAGUUCUGCAACAAUCCCCAGCUAUGUCAGGCAAAUCUACAGCUUCCUUAUCCAAUUUCCAUAAUUGCAAAGCUAUAAAUAUAAAACAAAAGUAAAUGUAAAUUCAUGUGCUUCAUUGUCUUUAGUUCUUGGAAAUAGGUGCCUUCUGCAAUAUCCUGGCCAUUAUAAAUGCCUCAACACAAAGUACCAACUAUCGAGCUCGAUAUAGGCAUCAAGCAUGUUAAAGAUGGAUUUUAAUAGCCCAGCAAUCGGCUUCUAAGAUAGCUAAACACCUCAUUCACACUAACCUAACAUCCCAAGAUCAACUAUAAGAAAAGAAACAAAAAAAUAUGAUUAAAAAAAGGCUUUAAUAUGUGCUUACAUAUUCAUCAAAAUACAAAAAUUAUGGAAACACAACAUGGUACAAGCUUGCCAAGAUAAACCUUCAACAAUUCAAGCUUCUAAGCACAGUAAAAUGCCUGCUUUUACUAUAAUCAAAAUACUUGCACAUAGACCAUCAAUUUUGGUUCUCAUGGAGGCAUCAUGGAGGAUCCUGAAUGAAGAAGAAGAUGGAAUACAGCCUUCUCAAAAGGAGCAAAGUAGAGUUCCAUGAAGGAAAAGAUUACUGGUGUACCAGAAAGUGAAGGACAACAAGGUCCUAGGAAAGAGAUGAACAGUUGGGUUGUUAACUAGUUAUCAGGUCUGAAAUUCAAGUUUGUUGGCAAGAUGCAUGGAUAAUGAAAGGGAAUAAAGGCUGUAGCAUAAGAUGCACAUGCAAGCUACUGAAAAUGAUGACCAUGCUUGUAGAUACAAAACUAAAAGGCUAGCAACAUAAUGGGAAUCACAUGUUAUGAAAAAGAAACCAUAUUAACUAGGAACAUGAUAUAUGCUUUCAUUUAGUUCACUUUAACAAACUGUCAAGAUGCAUGGAUAAUGAAAGGGAAUAAAGGCUGUAGCAUAAGAUGCACAUGCAACCUACUGAAAAUGAUGACAAUGCUUGUAGAUACAAAACUAAAAGGCUAGCACGAUAAUGGGAAUCACAUGUUAUGAAAGGGAAAGCAUAUUAACCAGGAACAUGAUAUAUGCUUUCUUUUAGUUCACUUUAACAUACUGAACAAGGUACAAUCUAUUCAAAUACAAGAACUUACAGAUUGAGUGCCAUAUAUCAAAAUCACAGAAGGUAAAGUCAUCUUUAUGCAAAGAUGAAACCAUCAACAUCCUAUCUCAUUGUAAGUUUUCGCAUUUUCCCCUUCUUUCAGAUUUUCUGCUCUUUUAUUUAAAGCGGGUGGAGGCAGUAUAAGCUUAUAAAUUUACAGUGUGCUUACUUGAAUGUGGCUUUGACAUUUUCUCAUCCCAUCCUUCUUCCAAGCAUUUCUGCCAACGAACUGCCAACUGAAAAGCUUCCUAUUAUGUGACUAUUCUGCAUAACUGAAAUCAUGCCACCGAGGCAUUUUUCCCUUCAUCCAAAACCCCUUUUUAAAAAAUUUAAGACUCUGUCCUGCUCAUGCAAAUGCAGGGGCGGGAAGAAUCAAGUGUCCUAUUUGAGAAUAGGGUUGAACCCAACGCAAGAUGUUCAAAUACAACUCAUUUUAGCAGCCAAACUUAAAAGUUGAGAUGUUUGCUGAUAACUCGUUUAAGGAAUUGGUGAGAGUUUUGAUACUCCAAGGAUUCCAUAUGUAUACUUUCAGGUAAUCACCGUGGUCAAUCUCAACCUUAAAUUUGACGUGCAUUCCCCUCAUUCAACAUAAUAUUAUUCUUAAGAGGAGGAAAAAGAAAAGUGCGUUACAUUUUCUUGCUUAAAAAUAGCAACUAAAUCAUAUUUAACUAUAUACAAUAAUAAUCCAUCUGUAUUUCAAGCUUAAUCAAGCCAAACACAACCGAUCCAGGCAAAGCUCGCCCUUAGAUCGUUCGCUUAACAUAUAAUUACAGUGCUCAGUUAUAAUUCCAUCCUUAACAUGUACGAUUCCAUUUAUAUUCUAAGAAAUAAAAAUGCUAUCUUUUGUUAACCAUCUUCUAGUAUUUCUCUUUUUUCUUCCUACCACAAUCACCCGCACUCGGAACAAUCAGAUUCAUCACCAAUGAUAAUACUAAUCAAAGCUCAACCGAAAAUAGUAUAUUAUUGGCAUAUCAUUAAGCAAAAUAAAAGAUUGUAACCCUCUCAUCAUCAUAUAGAAAGAGUAAUCAAGUUCGAGUACCUAGCACCUAAUAGCACCAAAACUGCAAUAGAUAAAAAUAAAAGUAGUUCUCUCUAUCUAUAGCCGCUUUAUCAGCAAGCGAUGGCGAGCCAAAACAACCACCCACGAACAACGAAUAUCAAAGGAAAAUAGCCUUAAUGGGAGAAAAAAAUUAGAAGAAGAAGAAGAAGAAGAAGAAAGAGAGAGCUCACCAGGUGGCUGGAGAGGAUGACACGGGCGCCGUGAUCCAUGAGGUACUUGAUGGUGGGGACGGCGGCCCUGAUCCGGUUGUCAUCGGUGAUAUUGAGGCUGUCAUCCAGGGGUACGUUCAGAUCCACCCUCACGAACACUCGCUUCCCCUUCAGAUCCGCCUCCUUUAGCGUCGACACGCUCCUCUUCGUCGCCAUGUUUGAUCGAUCGAUCGAGAGAAGAACAGAGAAGAGGAUAGACUCCGAACACAGACGGAAGGGGCGAUGGGAUGUAUAUUAUUAUAUAUAUAUAUAUUAAUAUAUAUAAUACCCGAUGGGCGUAGGUUUAGGCGAAUGGCCCCGUGAGCGCAUCCAGGAUUCGUGCGCCGCGGUAGUUUUCUUACGGUGGGCGCCGGAUCGGAUGGAUAGCUAGGGUGCAAGUGGAGGAUCGGACGGUUAAGAAUGAUUGAAUGGAUUUGAGGUCCACCCGUCGGGCUAGCUCGUGGUUUUCUUUUUGUGCGAAAGGGUCUGGGUUCGUGGUUUCUGCGCACUUCUAGAAGCUGCUGACUGCGGUCUGCGGGUGUCCGGUUGGAGACUAGAGAGAUUUUUCUUUCCGCGAAAAUCCGAUAACAGCGCGAGCUCACGAGGUGGGAAGGACACGCGUCUAAACAAAAAAUAAAAAGCUUGAUUAGUUUUUUUUCCCUAAAACUAAUGGUCCGUAGAAUUUUAAUACGAACACUUUCAAAAAAAUAAAAAUUAAUAAAUUUUAAAGCGCUUUGGACAGCCAUUUUUUUUUCCGACCCAUAAGACAUCUCUGGAGUGGUUAGCCAUAUAUGAGACCAUCCAAUUCGCAAUUUUGUUGGCUUCUCUAUAAACAUGCUUGAUCUGAAACCCUAUAUUGUCUAUCAUUAAUCAUGAUCCAAAUGCCUCGAAGCAAGAAGUAGCACCCACCUACACCAUGGGUGUCUUGGAACUUGGUUAGCUUCAACUACAGAAAAUUAUUCAUGUAUCAAAAGAAAAAAAAAGCUUCAGAAAAUUGUUCUGAUAGACGGGGGAUAUAUCCUCUAUUAGACUGCUUUCGGUAUGGUUGCCGGCAGCCUAGGAACAUGAUGCUUAAAUUUUUGGUAUAUACCAAUACCAUGGACUCUAGAUUUCUUUGUGGAUGUUAAUACUUAAGAGGACUGUACAUGUAAACUCGAUUCUAAUUAGUUAUGCAGAAAAUUUGAUCAUCCCUUCGGUCGUGUGCGAGGGCCGACAGAGGGAAAGAGAGAGAAUCUAAUGCCUUUCCCUUUUUGCCGACUUGAGCAGAAUACUUUUACUACAAAUUGGCAGCCAAAAGAGAUUGGACAAUAGCGAACUCAAAUCAUAAACUAAAGAAAACAUCAACUAGUCCGCAAACCAUCAGUCUUCCCAUAAGAACCGUAUCAUUUUGAUGAACCUCUUGUUGAAUCCCAUGGCCAAGAAGGCAGCUUAAAUUGGCACCAUAUCAUAUUGACAUGCAGGAAAGCUAUCAAUGGUCAGACAAGCCAAGCCUGCAAGCCAAAUGGCAUCUAACCUGUUUAUCCUGGUGCAGGAGAUUUUUAUUUCAACCAUAAAUUGGCACCACAUCACAAGAAAACAUCAACGCAAGAGGGGCAAAAAAUCCUCUUUUGGCCAAUCCCAGAAACUCUACAAGAGCUCUUGACAUCUUGACUGAUUCCAUUUCUGGGUAAAACCCAGGUGAAAGAGACCACUGCAUGGUUAAUUUCUUUCAGGAACCGCGACGAAAGACACCAGCUUUGGAAUAAAACUUGGCCUCAUACAGCAACAGGAACAGCUUCAUCGAGAGCCACAACUCCUGGAAGCUCCUUCCCUUCCAACAAUUCCAAGCUGGCUCCACCACCCGUGGAUAUGUGGCUCAUAACAUCAGCGACUCCUACUUUCUCAACAGCCGCAACAGAAUCUCCACCUCCAAUGAUUGUCGUCACGCCCUUCCCGCUGAGCUCUGCCAACUUCUUUGCAAUUGCCUGCAAAAUUAAACCAUGGUUCCUUUCAUGGGCAUACAAGCCUGCAGAGGACAUGCAGUAAUGUAGCACUAAAUCAGCAGCUUGUGGUUAAUGCAUAAAAGAGAACCAUCACAUACCUCAGUUCCAACUGCGAACUUAUCGAAUUCAAAAACGCCCAUAGGACCAUUCCAAAUAACUGUCUUGGUUGUUUCCAGUGCAUCACUGAAUGAUUUUACUGAAUCCGGUCCAAUAUCCAAGCCCAUCCAACCAUCCGGAAUUGCUGUUGAUGGUACGACCUGAAUGAGGAGCCAUCAUUCCUAAAUCAUCUCAUUACAAAUCUUCAACCUAAUAUAACACCCACUUUUGCAUGAAUUCAAAAAAGAAUUAAAAUGUUUCAAGGAGGUUCGCCUCUAAGGUUUUCUAGGUUCAAGAGUUCUUCUGACAUGGCUUAUAAAUAAGGGGAUAUGAAGGAACGAGGACUUUAAAAGCAUGCUCUACUCAAUGCCUUGCAAGCAUAGUGCCAUUGGACUGACAAACAUAAGAAGACCCUAAAAAUACAAACCUUGCUAUUUGCAUCAGCAGCAAACUUGUCAGCAAUGACAACAUCAGCGGGCAACAUAAGAGAGACCCCUUUAGAUUUUGCCUUCUUAAGAAGUGAUGUUGCAAGCUCUAGUUUGUCCUCUUCUACCAGGGAAGAACCCACUGAAAGGCCCUGUGCCUUGUAAAAGGUGAAGAUCAUUCCUCCACCCAGAAGAAGGAUGUCACAUUUCUCCAGCAAUGACUCAAUCACUCCAAUCUUGGAUGACACCUUUGAACCACCUACAAUGGCAGCAAAUGGCCUCUUGGGGUUCGCGAUGGCACCAACAAGAUAGUCAAGUUCCUGUAGUGAGGCACAAAUUGUUUGGUUAGAAAUUGACUCAAGAAACUAUAAGAAGAAAAAGAUAGAUGCAAAUCCAUGUGAAAUACUUCACGAAGCAACAUGCAACACGUGCAGAGAACAGGAUGCUGCUAUAUGAGAACCUCCAAGGCAGCAUUGAGAUGACAAAGAUGCACCAAUUGAAGUUCUAACUGCCUCAAUUUGGAUAAAGAUGAGAACUUUUUAACCACUAAGUGACUCCAAGAAACACCCAUGUGAGUAUUCUCCAGUAAGUUUUUAAUUCUUUUACAAAAUAACAAAAUAGAAAAGCUCUUUACCAACCUUUUGCAAAAGGAAACCAGCAACAGAGGGCUUCAAGAACUUGGUGACACCCUCUGUGGAUGCAUGCGCUCUAUGUGCCGUUCCGAAUGCAUCAUUCACAUAAAGGUCAGCUAAGGAUGCAAGCUUCUUUGCAAAUUCUGGUUCAUUCUUCUCUUCCUCCUUAUAAAACCUUACAUUUUCAAGUAGUAGAACACCACCUUCUGGAAUUGCAGCAACCAUUUUCUCGACUUCUGGGCCAAUACAGUCAUCAGCUUUCUCAACCUGUUUGGCAUGCUAGUAAGGAAUCCAGAAUGGUACAAAAAAGACGAUUACAUUACAUCUGGGUAAAAGAUAAGCACACCUUGAUGCCAAGAAGUUCAGAGAGCCUAGCGACAAGAGGACUCAAGCUGUAUUUCGGUGUGACACCCUUUGGGCGUCCCUGUGCAGGAAAAGGAUAAAUGAAUUUAGAAUCAACAGUUACCUGCACCUAAAUGUAAAAUAGGAUACAGAUGCUGUGGAAUUAUUUGAUUUUCACCAAAAACAUCAACAUGCAAUAAAUCAAAUUAUAAGAUCACAACCGACCAGAGAAUCAGCUACAAUUUAACUAUUUCUGAUCAACUUUAUCAAUUCCAUAGCAGCUUUCACACCUAUCAAAUGUCAAAAUCCUUUCCAGUUUCUUUAACAUUUCUAACUUUAGAUGGUAGCUAAUUUUGAAAGUGGAAACCUUUAUAAGGACACCUUGAGAGCAUUUAUAAUGGAACAAGGAAAACAAAAAUUGCUUAAGGAGAAAAGAAGACAGGAUGUUCAUAUUAAGAUGGAGAAGCCAAUGAGAACUUCAACAAAUCAUAUCAGUAAAACAUGAAGCUCAAGCAAUCUAAAACAUGAAACACUUUCAGGACAUGUAAUUAGGAAUUAAUAUAGGUACCUGUCCAAACACUAUGACUUUUAAGGAUAACGCUGGAAAAGGAAAAAUAAAGUUAUAGCACCAGAUAUGUGAAGUGAAGCCACUUGACAUAAAUAUAAGGGUUUCCAGCAUUAGAUUUUUUUCAAUCAAGAAUAUUUUCACCUGAACUGAUAAAAUUUUCUUUUUUGAAACUCUCUACUGGUUUCUGGGAAUUGAGUGCAACUCAAAAUAUCAAAACAAAAAAAGUUUAGUAGCAUCCUUCCAUUUCCAUAAAUUAAAUUAUAUAAAGAUAGCACUAUAUUUAGAUGGACAAGCGCAUGCAGAACUACCAUAUUCCAGAAACCUAUAGAAUAUAGAAACAAGCAACAUCUGGAGCACACUAGAUGAUCACAGCCACAUCGUAAUAUUGCUGAUUAGAGAACGCGUUACAGUGGUUCGUGAUAAAUUGAUGCUGAUCCCAGUGGCUUAAAAUCACUGGUAAUGAAAAACUUCUGGAGCGCACUAGACGGUCACAGCCACAUCAUAAUAAGGCAACAAAUCAAAGCCAACAAUUUAUCAUAAACAUAAUGCAAAAUCCGAACCUAACUCCCAAGUAUAUGAACAGAAGCACAUAAAAAUCUGCUCAAAUCUUUAGCUUGCGAGACUACCAUUGACAAUAAUGUUUUAUAUCUUCUAACACAAAAGGAGUGGUACCAAAAAUGCUAUUUUCAUGAAUUUAUCAGUCCUCCAACAACUACUCUACUCACUAAAACUAUCAGAAAGACUGAUACUAAAACAAGCUGCUUACAUGAUUUAGAAAGGAAGUCAACCCUCCACAUAAUUCAAUAACAAAAGGCAUUAAAAAUGAAAUAAGCCCGAAAGGUCAUCGUAGACACCUCCAAAACUGAGAUUUUUGUUGAUUAUUAGUACUAUAAAAUCUCACUUAAAAGAAUAAGUAAAACGACAAGCUGGUUCAAAAACACGAGAAGGGAAGGCAAGUAGAAAUCGAGAAGAGGCUCACCAGAUGGCUGGAGAGAAUGACCUUGGCCCCAUUCCCCAUCAAAUGCUUGAUGGUGGGCACGGCCGCCCGAAUCCUAGUAUCGUCGGUGAUGUUCUGGUUCUCAUCGAGGGGCACGUUGAGAUCCGCCCUCACGAACACCCGCUUCCCCUUGAGGUCCGCGGCGGUGAGGUCCCCAACGCUCUUCUUCGCCAUGGUCGCCACGCCCCUGGGGCCCCUCCCGCUCCGGCCGGCCACCGCCCAGAUCCUCUCCGCCACGUGGACCGCCAGCAGCGGGUCCGCCGCCGCCCCAGCGAAGCCCAGGCGGUGGAGCGGCGAUCGGAGCGCGACGGCACCGCGAGAGGCGGGGAAAGCGACCGCCGCCGCCUGCCUCCGGGACGAGGACAGGGAGGCGGAGGAGGACGGGUGAAGAGAAAGGGAGGUGGGGGAUGCGGCGGAAGCCAUCGUUAGCUCGUAGGAGCGAUAGAGAGAGAGAGAGAGAGAGAGAGAGCGAAGACAGAGUUGGAAAGGGGGAAAGAUGAGACGGUGGUGAGAUCGGAGAAGAGCAGCGAAUAAAAAGGAGAGGGAUUUGUGGAGGCGGGGUUGGAGGGGAAUAUUUUCUUAUCGCUGGGGAGAGGUGGAGAGGAGGGGUUCGAUGUUUUCAGCGAGAGGCUUUGGUAUUUUGGGUUGGUUUUAUCGGGUGGGCCUAUCGAUGGAAAGAAACAGGGGACAAGACGGGGGGGAGCCGGGGCGAAGAAAAAAGAAAGCUCGUGGAAAUAGAGUGGACUCUGGGGCUAGGCUAUGGUUCGUCGUAUCAUCUGUACAAACCAUACCAUAUCAAAUUAGUCCGAUACCGUUAUUUAAUAUAAAUAGCAUUCUGAUAUUUUGCAUAUUAAAAAAUUUUAUAUUGUACCAUAUUGAUACUGUUCUAGUAUAGCACCGGCACAAGUAUUGAUACCGAGACGAUAAACUUUGUUGUUGAUAUUUUUUUAAAAAAAAAUAAGUUAGAUACAUCGUACCCUUUUAGCAUGAAUGCAGCAAGAAAAUUAGAAAAAAGAAAGUGAUAAAAAAAUAUUGAAGCAGACUCGUAGCUCUCACAAAUCCAGCUGCUGGAAUGCUGCGCAACGAACAAGACAACCUAAUCAGUUGUGUUGUUUGUCUCACGGUGAGCAUGAGUAAUCUAGAAUGUCACACAGUCCUUCAGAAAAUCUCUGAUAUCUUGUAGCAGCGGUGCUCAUCCCCUACUCUUACGUAGCCAUGGAUCCACCUGAUCACAGUAGCCAAGUUACCUUCCAAAUGGAUGCGCUCAGCCCCUAAUCUGAUCCAUGCAUAAGUGAUCCCUUUUUAAACAGCUCUGAGCUUUGAGCUCUGAUCCAAGAACAAAACUAUCAUAGAGUCAGCUCCCCCUAUUAUGAUCAAUCUGCACUCAACGUUCCCAAUCACAAAACUAGCACCUCCUCGACCUCCACUACACCGAAAAUCAAGCCCUCCAUAUCCGGGAUCAAAUCCCACGAUCUUCGCCUCAACGGCUGCCCACAUUUGAAUGCACACGAUCUCAACAGAUCGCCAGCUAGCUCGAAAAUCUCGAGUCGUUUAUGGUAACUUAUUGAUCUGCACAAUCACGCCCGAUCGUAGGUAACCACUACACGCCCUCCUAUAAAAAGGGAGGAGAGCUCUAGAGAGAGGACACUUCUUCCUUCCCGGCCAAAAAUAUGUCCUUAUACCAUUCCUCUCCAUUACUUCUCUCCAUUAAAACCUCUCUCUGACUUAAGCAUUGGAGGGCCUGCGCCAGUACCCCCGGCCACAAGCUUCUUACAGGUCUGCCGGAGACAGCCGACGGCCGCCGCACCACCAGCCGAAGCUCCUCCUCUUCGGUCCGCAGUCACCUCUGGGUCCAAAUUCCAGCAAUAUAUACAAUAUUCAUUUUAUUUGGUAUUGCUAAUUGAUUAUUUUCUUGUUACUUAUGAUAUAAUGGUCCGGAAUUCUUACUGGGCUGUAAUACUCAUAACCUCUUUUUUCUAUCUUUUCAGAGUUGAAGGUUGCAAGUGGCUUAAUACUUGACUAUGACUGAGAUCAUAUGAAAAAGGGAUGAAUAAAUAGAGCAUUACUGAUAUUGGUUGGAUGAUUAAAUUCAUUAUAAAUUGAGAUUAUUAUUGUUCAUGGAUAUCAAAGUUGUGAUAAAUUUUUUAGGCCUGGCAUAUUUUCUAAAGGGAGUGUGCAGCCAUGUCACAAGUUUGACCCUGGAUGUUGGGAUUUGGCCGUGGCACUUUCUUCUUCUUCCUCAAUCUUAUAGCAAUAUAUAUAUAUAUAUAGCAAGCAUGUCUCCCUCACCCUCCUAAUUGAAGAUACUUCUUUCUCUUCGGAGAAGGCCUUUUAACCUGUUUUUUUUUUAUUACCAAAAAAAAGAACAAAUCAAACAGAGCUCAUUGGAGGAGAGUCUCCCUUCUGCGAGAUCUCUUGCAUUCCAGAGCUGCCAAAGAGGAAGAACCCCAGGGCGUGAGCCAACACUGCAGCCAUCAGCACACCAACGUUGAAGGACAUGGCGGCGAGCAUCACGAUGAGCGCCAGCGCAACGCGGAGCGCAUGCAAGGAGCCUGGCGGCCGCAUCAUGGCAGCUCCCACGGGACGCGAUCGUGAGGCCGUGAUUCAGCCACUCGAGGUAAGCGACGAGAAUGAAGACGAUGCCAAGGGUCAGCACGUACAUGACGGUGCCGGGCCAGCUGGAGAAGAGGAUGUCGGAGUUGGCGCCCCAGUAGAAGGUCAUGUUAGUCGCGGUGCAUCUGGGAGUAUUGGCUCAUGUCACGUCGUCGCCGAGGCCGAGCAUGCCGUGUCUUCUUCCUUUCGGGCACAUCGGUAUCUCACGUCAACCUGACGUGAGUUCUACCAUCAAUGUCGGUUACAUUAAAGAUAGAGUACAGAAUCAAUCACCCACCUUAAAACUUCUUUUGAAUGGUAGGCAACAAAGUAAGUAAUCCAGUCUGCUGCCGUAUUCGACUUCCAAAAUAUAUGAACAAUCUGAAACGAGCUACAGCUUAUCGCCAGGCUCUGGAUGUCCCUAAGUAGGGGUGGCCAUUGCCCUAUCGCGCAACGUCGCAAAUCCCCUCAGCCACCGUAGUCGAGUCUCUCUUCAGAAUGAUGCAAUUUGUCUCUAGAAUCUUUCUCGCAUAGGUGAAUCUCUCCCAUGCUGCUCUGAGCUCCGCUCCAAUAGCGGUCAUAUCAUAGGUGCGGCGCCCACCUGCCGCAAUCAACCUAGAAUCAUGAUCCUAUAUCACAAACCCCAUCCUUCCUCUGCCUCCUCUCGCCAAGACGCCAUCAAAGUUCACUUUGAGGUGGCCGGGAGGUGGGGGCUCCCAAGAAACAAGAGUAACUUAGAGCGCUGUAGUAGUGAAAUGGAAGCCUCAGAUGUCCCUAGCCCACUCUGGUGAAGAUGCCUGGGAAGCAGCGGUAAUCUCAGUCGCCUGACGGAUGACUCUGUCCACCACAGCCCUCGGAGAUGCCUUCCUACUAUCAGAAGUGCGUGCAUUCCUGUUCAACCAGAUGUGAUAUGCCAUAUAAGCACAGGUGAUGCCUCUCUCCAGAGUCUCCAGUCUCCUCACUAAUAUCCUCGGGUGGUCUAGCAGAUCCCUUGUUGACUCUGCACCCCGCGGCAGGAAAACGAGCGCCCUCUGCCAAACCUGCAUCGCCUGGGGACACCUUAGAAGGCCAUAGUCGAUGGUCUCCUCCGUGUUCGUAUAGUCCUCACACAUUGGAGUAAUCCUGACACCCCUACUUGCCAACACACCCCGAGUCGAUAGUGGUGCGGACNNNNNNNNNNNNNNNNNNNNNNNNNNNNNNNNNNNNNNNNNNNNNNNNNNNNNNNNNNNNNCUGCCAGUCUGAUUUUAUUUUAGAUUGAUUUAUUUUAUGUUGUUUGGGUUUAUUUACAUAUUGUCAUUUGGGUUUAUUUGCAUAUUGUCAUUUUAGGAGCUUUUUGGAAUUAUUUUAUUUGUAGGGGUUAUUUGUUAUUUUGUGACCCUAUAUAUAUGGGUCCAUCCUCAUGUUUAGGGAAUGAUGAAUGAAAAUUAGCCUCCUUGUCUUCUUCUUCCCCUUCUCUUCUUCCCUUCUUCUUCUUCCCCUCCUCUUCUUCCCCCUUCCCUCUCCUUCCUGCAGUUGUCCUGCAUCACCAGGCCACAGAUCGUAGAAGGUUAAACAUGCCACACCGUAUUUCUCAGAUAAUUAACUGCAUAGGGGUUUAAUUGAUUAUUUGAAAUGAAUAAUAAAGGGUGAAAAAGACUGUCUUCAAGGAUCCAGUAUUCACCAAAUUUGCCGAGAUGAAACAAUGCCAACUCUUGUUUGACCAUUUAGCAGCAAGUCUUAUUUUGCCUUAGAAACAUGUAACAUUUGACUACAAUUUAUCAAACAAGACUCCCUGAUUGCAAAGUUUCAGUACUUUUCAGAUGUAAUUAAUCAUCGUGAACAUUUUAGUCUUGCAACUUCCAAGACUUGCUAGCAAAUAAAGAAUGACAGCACGAAAGUCGGAAGCACACCAUCAAACCACAAAAAAAGAAAAAAGAACCAAGCAGAACUUCCAUCUGUGUAGUCAGAAAAGGUGGUCACCCCCCUGCUCAUGUAGAGGCAAAACAAAAUGAGACAAGAAACAUAAAGUUAUAAAUAAUUCUUUGUUAAAAAAAAAAUCAAAAAUCCGACCCCCUCCAAUUUGGCUUAAACAAGUUUCUUUCCAUCAUUUCCUAUUACCAUCCAACUUCAAAAUAUAUAGCUAAUUAAAUAAAAAGAGGCAACAUAAGUGCCCAGCAUCUUAUGGGUUGUACCCCACUUCUGCAGACGUCAAAAAAAGCAAUCAAGAGUUCGAACAUACAAAAACUAUUCUGGUAACAAAACAAAGUGCUGGGAAACGAGAACAGCAUCCUGGACCAUGUUCUAAGUAGAAUGCAUACACAACCAGCCUGAUUAAAUUUAUAUGCAGUAAUCUCAUGCACUAACCAUACACCGCUUUUACUACACACCAUUCUACUAGACAAAGAGACCUGUUGUUACAGGUCAAGAACUCUGCAACAGGGCUAAUAUGGGACAUUCUUUGGAAGAUUUCUGAUAACGUUACUCUUCAUUCCAAUUUUUGAGCGCAUAGCCUCUACCCCAUUCCGAUUCAUCUUCCUUAAAACUUUCAUCCUCACAGUCCUCUCUUUUGUCUGCAUCGUUGCCAACCUCAGAAUUCGGUUCCUGCAAGACAGAAGAUCGCUGUUUACAGCCGCGACUAACAAAAAAAAAGAAAAAAAGAAAGAAAUAAGAAAAGAAUCAAAGUGAGAUUUAUAAUAAAAGCGGUUCACGUUCAAUUCCAAUCCUUCAACUAUGCAUGGUUCAUGUUCAAUCCAGAUGUACCUAUUAUCUUGCAACCCGCAAAACAACACAUGAAAAAAAGAAAUCGGAUCAUCAACAGGGGUUGUAGAUUGCAUGCAAAGAGAUUCACAAACAUCAUUUCCCCACCCUAGAAAAUAGAUUACCGACGACAUGCAAUUUUCCAUGAUAAUUUAAAAUAACAAUGAGGGGUCACGUACCUCGAAGCUAAUGAGAUGGCUGGAGCAAUAUCCCUUGCAGGAGAAGGUCGUGGCUUCUGGCGGUAGUAACGCAGAAAUUCCCGAAAUCCAAGAAUUCGAACAAGAACCCCACCAUCAGUCCUUCGUCUUACAAUUAGCUCAGAUCCUCCAGUUCCAAGCUCAAUGCUAUUAGCCAUAUCAUUUGCAGACACCAACUGCUUACCAUCCGCAUCCAAAUAGCUAUCAAAAGAAAACCAUGACCAUUCUACGCAAUCAGAACAGCACAAAAUUUUGAAAUUAUCCAAAAAAACCAAAAUCAAUUAUCAACAUAAUUGAAUUCCUCGUCUCUUUUUGCAGCAUUAUCUACUAGUUUUGGACAUGUGAGACGCAUAUGCUUCAUUAAAGGAAAAGGGAAAGACUAGAGGGAUCAGGGGGCAGAGGUUUAAAAAGUGACUUUGGUACUUCCAGGAACAAGGAUAAGCUUUUAUGCUCCAGACAUGGCUAUAUUACCAAAACUAUGAUAACUAUAGCCGUUAAUUUCUUACAAACCAUGAUCUGGAUCUUGGGUGAGGCUUAGGUACUACCCAUGUAGCACUAUCAUGAUACAGUUGCACUAGUUUUGAAAUAAAAUAACUUUUUCAUGAGUGACAUGUCCCUUAAAGCACAGAUGAUCCCAAUCAAAAUGGUGCUAAACUAUCUGGAUCUUAUUAUUGGAUAACGAUCAGGUAGGACAAUAAAAUUAACUUAUGUAUGUAUCAUAUAAUCUCCAGGGGUAUAUGAUCAAACUAGAUCAUCUUAUUCAAUUAAACCAUGUGAAAGCCCAUUUCUCAAACUUAAAUUUGACUAUACAGCAUUUACAAUUACUCAUCUGUCACUAACACAGAGCACAGAAAAUUAGCAAGCCCAUUAGGGUAUUUAACUAUAGAAAUUAAAGAAAAAGAGAUAUUCGAGUUUGUGGAAUUAAAAGGACAAGGACGACCUUCAUAAUUUUACAAUCAUUUGCUAAAUCUGAUUCUUUUUUUUGGAAAAUAAUAAAAGUUUCUUCCUGAAAAGAUACUGCAUUGGUUAUAUUCUGAAUGCUAGUGUGUUUCGUCUUUAAAAACCAGACAUGAUGUUUGUCUUGUUAGACAUGCUAUAUGUAAGAUUAUGACCAUGGAAACCAGACUUUUACAAGUAGUACUUUCCAUUUUCAUUCAUCUACUUUACAAUUGUCUCAAUUUUACCACUUUCAUACACCUUUAUAACUUUAAUAUUUUUGAAAGAAAGAAGCAAGAAUAAUGGGAUCCACAACCUGAUCCAGAUAUGAUCCAAUCUGCCUCUUCAUGAUUUUACAACUCGAUCCCAAUCCUAGAAACAUCGAUGAUAACAAACCAAAUCUUCUACACUGUUCACAUCCCUUUAUAUUUUUGCCAUUUUUGAAAGAAAUCAGCAAGGACCUCAAGAUCCAGGAUCUAAUCCAUAUCCAAUCCAAUCUGCCCCCUCCAUUAUUUACAACUGGAUCCCAACACUAACAAUAUCGAAAGAAACAAUCCGAAUCUUUGAGAUAGUUAACUUGCAUAUGACCGAUGAAGGAAAAGAGGAAAGACUAUUAAAAGAUGAUUCCAUACUUGUUUAAAACCUAAAACUCGAGAAGUUUUGAAGAUAACCUGCUGCUGUAAUCAUAGAAAUCUUCCAAGUCCCCAUCAUCGUCGUCACCUCCAUCUCCAUAUCGUAAUUUGCAAUGACCUUUGGCUAUCAUGUGCUUCCUUACAGCUUCCAAGCUUUGAAAAGGAUGGCAUCUCUCAUUGCAAUAUAAACACACGAAGUCCCUUUUCACCUGGGGAGGGAAAAUAAGCAAUUGAAUGUUUCAGACAGCAAGACUUCAUAAAUGAGAUCUCAAAGUACAACAUUCAAAAGAUGCAAGUCUCCUCGUUACCUUAAGACUAACAUAUUUAAGGAGGCCCUUAGGGUUCUUCAGAUACUCGACAUCAGGUAUGAAAAACCCAUGCAGCUUAUGCAUGUGAAUCAUGCAGCUUUCUAUGUCAUAAUGCUUUUGGUCACAUAUAAAACAGCAUGAAGGGUCCAAGUCUUGAACUUCAUCCAUGCCAUCAGAUUGGCCAACACCAGAGACAGAAUUUUGUUCAUUUACAUGCAGAUUAGUCAGAGAUUCAGAUGCAAUUGCAGGAUCGGAUUCUUGAGAAGCUUUCAUAGCAUGAGCUCGUGAUUUGAGAUGUUGAUCAUGGGCUUUGGAGCUCCUAUACUCCUUCCCACAAAGAGCACAACUAUACAACAUUGCAGUUGCACUCAACUGGUUUCUCUCUUCAGCUAGGGCCGACCGCCUAGCCUGAAAUAAUGCUUCAGUGACCCCUGAAACUCCCGCAACCUGAAGCAAAUAAACAGUCAAUGUAUAAUGAAAAUUUUCUUUGUGAGAAAACCAAUAAUAUUGUAAGAAAAGCAAAUUGAAGCACCCUAUAUAACCAUUAAACAAGAAUAACCGCAAAAGAACAUGAUAAUCCAGGGCUUCCAAAAUAAAAUAAUUCAUCCUAUAAAUAUUAAAUAUCAUACUAUCAUGGGACAAAUGGAUCAACUAAGCACCCCGUCUUUCCUUAACCAGUCAGAUGAUUUCUUUAUUCCAAUUAUGAACAAAAAUUAAAACACAGAGGUUAAAAUUUUAGAUUAAAAUGUAAGGCCAGAUGAUGUAGACUAAAUAAUAAUAACAAUAGAAUGCUCUCUCAGCUAUACAGAUUCAGAACCCACGAGUCCAUUACUUCAGUUGACAGGCUGUAGCCAGCAGCUGGACAAAAUUAGAAAGCUGCUGAUAGCAAAAUGAAGUUCAAAGAUCUAAAAUAGAGCAAUUUGGCAACAUAGUUCAUUAUCUGAUGGUAAAAGCUAAUGAUUAGCAAUAAUGACAACCUGACAUUGAAGAAAAGAGUCAUCAUCAUGGUCACAUGACAGUAGCAGCCUCAGAUAAUCAAGAAGUAUUUAAAACAAAAUUUUGCAAGUGAUAUCUCUGCUCUUCAACUCAAAAUUUUAUCUAUCUCAUUAAUUUUACACCUAGGGCCGGUCUAACUCUUAGGCGACUUAGGCGGUCGCCUGAGGCUCCGGCCCAAAAGAAGCCCACCGCAAAGAGAGAGAAGUUGAAAUAAAAUGAAUACCGGAGAGAGAAGGGGAGGAGGGCCGCUUCUUCGGAAGGGAUUCCCGCUGAGAGAGGGUCUGGAGCUGCUGGUCGAGCUUCUGAAGCGCUUUCCGGGCCUUCUCCCGGUCGAUUUCGAACUGGCUUUCUUCUUUCUCUGGAGGAGGAGAAACACCCCAAGGAGGAGGACCACCACAAGGAGGAAGGGCACAAGGAGGGCAUCGUCGAAAAGAUCAAGGAGAAGAGCCACGGCGGAGAUGAGCAUGGACAGAGAAAAAAGAAAAAGGAGGAGGAGAAGAAGAAGCAUGGCGAGGGCCACGACGGCCACAGCAGCAGCAGCGACAGCGACUAGAUCCGCAGGAGAUGCUAAACUGAUGCAACAUAUAAGAAAACCGAACAGAAUGAGAAGUUCAGUUACAUUAUUCUGUAUCCCUGGUUACAAAAUUAAUAUCCGAAGAAAGAUGAGUGCCCCAAUUGUCAUGACAUCCCUGAAGACAUCCUAAAUUGCAAGUCAAGCGAAAAAGCAACAUUCUAAGCAUAAAGAAGGGGAAAUCAAGAAAAGUAUCCCCCAUUCAUACAGAAUAGCAGGGACCUUGGAACUCUCAGCAUGAAACAAAGAAUCUAUAUACAUUGUAGUGCCAGUAAAAUGGCAGCAGGUUUGCAAAAAUGAGAACUGAGAAGGGCAAAUUAUUCCCGGAAUGUAACAGUAAGAGUAGAUGGCCUCAAAUAUGUAACAGAACAAGUCACCAUCUCCGGCGACAAGCGCCGGCAGCGGAAGAGGCCGGAAAAGGAAGAACAAUAGGGAUUUUCGGAUCUAAAAACAGAGGAUAAAGAGGGCUUUUUCUUCACGAAUUUUUCCGGCGAAACCUCGGCCGGCGACAAGGCUUAGGAACAAAGAAAUAGAGUAGAAGAAGAUCAAGGCUCUUACCUGUGAUUCCGGCGAAGGAUUGGCUACGUUUUCCGGCGAGCACAAGGAGCCUAGGUCGUCGGCAGUCAAGGGAGGAAAGAGAAGAAGAAUGGCUGUGGCUAUGAGGAUCUUCCAGUGAGAAGAACUAGGGGGGGGUCGAUGGUGUUUAAAUAGAAGUGGAGGCUAGGAGUCCGUUUCUCCUUCGCCGUGUUCUACCAGGGCCCUUCAGGCCGCCAUUUGGAUGCUGGGCCGGGCCGGCAGGCCGGCCCCAUGAGGCUGAGCCCACACGGUCAUAGCAUAUUCGUUAAGGGGGAGAACCGGAGAAGAAAACAGAUAUGUCAACCGGAAAUCAAUCCACACCCACUUAAUUCGCAUAUAAGACAUAAAGAAAAACCCUAAUUGGCUAAGAGCUGGAAACAGACCCAAAUCCCUAACCCGAUGAGACAGUCAUAGGAAAAGAAGAAAUUUAAAACAUCGAGAGCCCCGAUUGAAGCGAAUCGAAAGAUACCAAACCCUAGACCUAGCAGUAAGGAUGUACGGAUUUACUAUCUUUCUCUUGAGGUUGUAGCGGUGCCAUUCAGAUCGGUAGUGAAGCUUCUACUCCACCUCGUCCUGGAACUCCUUGUUGCAUGCAUUGCACGUCAAAACCGGCAUCUCGAUCCCAAUCUCCUGCCUCUUCCUUUUCGAUUUCUCUCCUUAUUCAACGUCAGUCUCUAGAGGAUGCAGGAAGAAGAAUUUGAAGACACCUUUAUAACGCCCGAAUGAUUUCCUGAUUCCAUGAGCAGUGGCUUAGCCUGUCCGGGAACCCAAGUUUCAAAAAUCCUCAUCAUUUCAAAAAAAAAAGAAGAUCAAAAUGAUCCCAAACAUGUCUGAUAUGGUGCAGUUCUAAUUAUAUUGCAAAGUUAGGUAAUGUUGCAGAAUAAAAUUUGAAAGGGCGAGAAAAAAUUGCAUAGAAAUAUAUAUCAUGGAACAACAAAGAAGAUUUUAGUGUUUGGUUGAAGAGAUACGUAUAAAAAGAAUAAAGUGCAUCAAAUUUCAUAGCAUAUUUAAAUUCUAUCAGAAAACAAAAUUAUCCUCCAUUUUUUAUUAGAUUAAAAAAUAAAUAAAGACAGAAAAGUAGUUAAGAAAAAUAAGUUUCCACUUACAUGAUAUAACUAUUCCAUUAGAAAACGGUAAAAUAAGGUUAACUGCUCAUAUUCCCACAUGUCCAUUCUUAUCCACUUUUUUUUUUGAUAGAAUGGCGACUUACAUCAAACACGCAUGAGUCCACUGAGAAAGAUCAAAAAGAAAAAGUUGACGGAGAUAGAAAGAAACAGACUCGAGACUCUCCUAGAAAAACUCUUUCAAAUGGUGCCAAACAUAGGAGGCAAUUCAGUCAGCAGCACUUUUGGUCUUUGGCCCUGAUUCACCAAUCGAACACGCUAUUUGAGUGGCAAAUAUUUUUAUUUCUAUAAAAAUAGAUAUUUUUAUUCUUUUUCAAAGUGGAAAUUGCUUUUUUAUUUUUGGUAGAAAGAGGACCAGCAGUUUGAUUAUAAAAUAAAGUAUUAUAGAGUCCCUAAAGAUGGAACUUAGAAACUCUUGAUCAGGAAAGAUAUAAUAUAACUACAAACACAGACACCACUCAAACUAAACAGGCUAUCUUCCAAAUCAGUAGGUUCUUCAAGAUACGAAUAUGUGGACAUUAAUGACUAUAGUUAAGGCAUCCCCUUCCGACCAAUCCUGUUCUGCACUAAGAUCAAUCACAACCAUCUUCAGACCAAUCCAAGCUGCAGUAAGCUCUGCAUAAGGAAUGGAUGAGACCACCAAUUUUCUACCUCCAGCUCUGAUCAUUUGUCCAAAAUGGUUCCUUAUAACAAAAUCUACUGCUGCUUGAUCAAGGGUAACAACAGCAUCAAAGUUAAUUUUUAGAACUCCAUAAGGAGGGGGCAACCAAGACACAUAUUUAGUAGAUCUAACUUGUAUUUGCUGUUGCAAGACACUACUAACCUAGUGCCUUAACAGAGUAUCUAGAGCUAACUUUACUUGAAUUCCCAAAUCCAAUUGAAAUUUAAACCCAAACCCGAGUGCUGUGGCUGUGGACACAGAUUAUACAUGUCUGACAAAGAAAGGAUAAGAGAUCUUCGUAUGGGCCCAAACAAGCUGAUCAGACCAGAGUCCUUGCGCUACAGGAAUGCACCAAGUCUGGUUCAUCAUCUCAGGAAUAAUAGGUAUAUUAGAAAUAUUAGGGUCCUCAAGCACAUUAACUGCAUGUCCAUUCCCAAUCAACCAUGUGGUCAAUUCUAAAUAUCAUUUCACUAGAUCGUGGGACAAUUAUCCCAAUCACUUGACGGAAAAACUCCAAGCCCCCCUGGUUGUCCGGGCAUACACAAUGUCCCAAGAGAUCAUACGGAGCCCUUUUUGAUCACGAGGGCGUCCCCCAAGAAAGCUCGAAUUUUUUUCUUUCUAAUUUGGAUAAAAUUGAAGCAGGCACCAACAACUUUUGGAUCUAAACCAGUUUUUAUGUUCUAAAGAGUUGGUUUUCUUUUCUUUUUUUUAAUAAAUUAUGUUACUGUAAGCCUAUAACCAAAGAGUUGGAGCAGGACAACCUGUGGAGCACCUUAUUGAGGGCCAAAUAUGGGGUGCUCAUAGCGGAGGCGGAGUUCCGAGCUGGGCAUCACUGCUCCUUCAUCUGAAGGGAGAUCUGCUCUCACGCCUCGUUAGUACAAUUGGAGAUCAAGUGGGCGAUCGGGGAUAGACAAUCUAUUGAUGUUCUGGAGGAUAGAUGGAUGAUGGAGCUACCACUAGGUCGAGUGCCGAUGAUGGUCGAUGCGGCGAGGAUGGUUGGGCUCGGAGUCAGCAAUUUGCUCAUCCCUAAAGAGGGCCGGUGGGUCGAGGUGCUAAUCAAGGAGGUGUUCGGAAUGCAGCUUGCCGAGAGGAUCCUAGCUAUCCCCCUACCUCAGGGUGCUUUGGAAGACAUGCGUAUUUGGAUGGGCAUAGGGAGGUCCAAGGUGCGCUCUGCAGACCUACGUGCAGUGAUGAGUGGCGAGGCCUCUAGGCGAUUUAAUGGUGGAUGGAUUUGAAAGAUAUGGGUAUACCUCCGAAUGGCUCUGUUCACUUGGAAGGUAGCUUGGGAUUGUCUGCCGACUAAAAGUCUGCUGGCCAAGAGAGAGGUCAAGGUCUCUCCGCUGUGCGUAGACUGCCCGGAGUCGAUGGAGACCAUUAGCCAUGCUUUGUUUGAGUGCUCACGGGCCACACAGAUCUGGAGGAGGGCCUCGUUCCCCUUACCAGGGUCUGUUGUAUCAGCUGGAGAUCUUAUUCGGCUCGUAAGGUCUGCUAUAUAGUCCCCGAGUACCGCUAGGUGAAAUAUUACUAUCAUCUCCUUGGCUUAUCACAUCUAGUUUGAUAGAAAUGAGAGAGUCUUCGAAAACAGAAGGGCACCCUGAGGUCCAUCGUGGAGAAGGCAAGGAACUGUAGUGGUUUAAGCCAAACCUUUACCUACCGAUUGAUCAAUUAGGCAAGGUCGUUAAGAGUGGCCCGUGACUUGGACCCCAAAAAACAAAAAGCAGGUAACUAGGCAAGUCACAUUUGAGUUAAUACAUGACAUAGGCACAACCAAAUAUCACGACCUGGCCACAGACCGUAGAAGGUUAAACAUGUCACACACCGUACUUCACAGAUGAUUAACUGCGUAGGGGUUUAAUUGAUUAUUUGAAUGAAUAAUAAAGCGUGAAAAAGACUGUCUACAAGGAUCCAGUAUUCACCAAAUUUGCAGAGAUGAAAUAAUGCCAACUCUUGCUUGACUAUUUAGCAGCAAGUCUUAUCUUGCCUUAAAAACAUGCAACAUUUGACUACAAUUUAUCAAACAAGACACCCUGAUGCCUGAUUGCAAAGUACUUUUCAGAUGUAAUUAAUUAUCACAAUCAGUUUAGUCUUGCAACUUGCAAGACUUGCUAGCAAAUACAGAAUGACAGCACGAAAGUUGGAAGCACACCAUCAAACCACCAAAAAAAAAAAAGAAGACCAUGCAGAACUUCACCUGUGCAGUCAGAAAGGGUGGUCGUCCCCCUGCUCAUGUAGAGGUAAAACAAAAUGAGACAAGAAACAUAAAGUUUUAAAUAAUUCUUUGUUGAAAAAAGAAAAAGAAAUCCGACCCCGUCCAAUUUGGCUUAAACAAGUUUCUUUCCAUCAUUUCCUAUUACCAUCCAACUUCAAAAUAUAUAUCUAAUUAAACAAAAAGAGGCAAUAUAAGUGCCCAGCAUCUUAUGGGUUGUACCCCACUUUUGCAGACGUCAAAAAAAGCAAUCAAGAGUUUGAACAUACAAAAACUAUUCUGAUAACAAAACAAAGUGCUGGGAAAUGAGAACAGCAUCAUGCGACCAUGUUCUAAGUAGAAUGCAUAAAUAACCAGCCUGAUUAAAUUUAUAUGCGGCAAUCUCAUUCACUAACCAUACACUGCUUUUACUACACACCAUUCUACUAGAUGAAGAGACCUGCUGUUACAGGUCAAGAACUCUGCAACAGGGCUAAUACGGGACAUUAUUUGGAAGAUUUCUGAUAACGUUGCUCUUCAUUCCAAUUUUUGAGCGCAUACCCUCUACCCCAUUCCGAUUCAUCUCCCUUAAAACUUUCAUCCUCACAAUCCUCUCUUUUGACUGCACCGUUGCCAACCCCAGAAUUCGGUACCUGCAAGACAGAAGAUCACUGUUUAGAGCCGUGACUAACAAAAAAACAAGAAAAAAAGAGAGAGAGAAAUAAGAAAAGAAUCAAAGUGAGAUUUAUAAUAAAUCCAUAACCACAGGUCUCAUAAAACAUUUUCAUUUACUUAUAGUAUUAUUAGUAACUUUCAGUCAUGGCAUUUAUGGAGACAGUUGAUAAUGAUAGUUCCUGUGAUGGGCCUCAUUGGGAACAUAAGAGCCAGUAGGAACCGACCAAGGAAAAUCCCAAUCCUUCAACUAUGCGUGGUUCAUGUUCAAUCCAGAUGUACAUAUUAUAUUGCAACCCCCAAAACAACACAUGAAAGAAAAAAAGGAAUCUGAUCAUCAACAGGGGGCUGUAGAUUGCAUGCAAAGAGAUUCACAAACAUCAUUUCCUCACCCUAGAAAAUAGACUACCGACGACAUGCAAUUUUCCAUGAUAAUUUAAAAUAAAAAUGAGGGGUCACGUACCUUGAAGCUAAUGAAAUGGCUAGAGCAAUAUCUCUUGCAGGAGAAGGUCGUGGCUUCUGGCGGUAGUAACGCAGAUAUUCCCGAGAUCCAAGAGUUCGAACAAGAACCCCACCAUCAGUCCUUUGUCUUACAAUAAGCUCAGAUCCUCCAGUUCCAAGCUCAAUGCUAUUAGCCAUAUCAGUUGCAGCCACCAACUGCUUACCAUCCGCAUCCAAAUAGCUAUCAAAAGAAAACCAUAACCAUUCUACGCAAUCAGAACGGCACAAAAUUUUGAAAUUAUCCACAAAAAGCAAAAUCAUUUAUCAACAUAAUUGAAUUCCUUGUCUCUUUUUGCAGCAUUAUCUACCAGUUUUGGACACGUGAAAUGCAUAUGCUUGAUAGAAGGAAAAGGGACAGACUAGAGGGAUCAGGGGGCAGAGGUUUAAAAUGUGAUUUUGGUACUUCCAGGAACAAGGAUGAGGUGAGGCUCAGGUACUACCCAUGUAGCACUACCAUGAUACAAUUGCACUCGUUUUGAAAUAAAAUGACUUUUUCAUGAGUGACAUGUCCCUUAAAGCACAGUCAACAAUAAGAGUCUAUACGCAUCUACUUCGCAAAUGCUACCGAGGUCACAUCUGACCUAUUCAUCUGGAUCUUAUGAUCCCAAUCACAAAGGCGCUAAACUAUCUGGAUCUUAAUUUUGGGUACGGAUCAGUUAGGACAAUAAAAUUAAUUUCUGUAUGUAUCAUAUAAUCUCCAGGGAUAUAUGAUCAAACUAGAUCAUCUCAUUCAAGUAAACCAUGCGAAAGCCCAUUUCUCAAACUUAAAUUGACUAUAUAGCAUUUACAAUUACUCAUCUUGCACUAACACCGAGCACAAAAAAGUAGCAAGCUCAUUAGGGUAUUUAACUAUAGAAAUUAAAGAAAAAGAGAUAUUAGAGUUUGUGGAACUAAAAGGACAAGGAAGACCCACACAAUUUUACAAUCAUUUUCUAAAUUCGAUUCUUUUUUUAGGAAAAUAAUAAAAAUUUCUUCCUGAAAAGAUACUGCAUUGAUUAUAUUCUGAAUGCUAGUGUGUUUCACCUUUAAAAAUCAGACAUGAUGUUCGUCUUGUUAGACAUGCUAUAUUUAAGAUUAUGACAGUGGAAACCAGACUUUUACAAGUAGUACUUUCCAUUUUCAUUCAUCUACUUUACAAUUGUCUCAAUUUUACCACUUUCAUACACCUUUAUAACUUUAAUAUUUUUGAAAGAAAUAAGCAAGAAUAAUGGGAUCCACAACCUGAUCCAGAUAUGAUCCAAUCUGCCUCUUCAUGAUUUUACAACUCGAUCCCAAUCCUAGAAACAUCGAUGAUAACAAACCAAAUCUUCUACACUGUUCACAUCCCUUUAUAUUUUUGGCAUUUUUGAAAGAAAUCAGCAAGGAUCUCAAGAUCCAUGAUCUAAUCCAUAUCCAAUCCAAUCUGCCCCCUCCAUUAUUUACAACUGGAUCCCAACACUAACAAUAUCGAAAGAAACAAUCCGAAUCUAUGAGACAGUUAACUUGCAUAUGACUGAUGAAGAAAAAGAAGAAAGACUAUCAGAAGAUGAUUCCAUACUUGUUUAAACCUAAAAGUCAAGAAGUUUUGAAGAUAACCUGCUGCUGUAAUCAUAGAAAUCUUCCAAGUCCCCAUCAUCGUCGUCACCUCCAUCUCCAUAUCGUAAUUUGCAAUGACCUUUGGCUAUCAUGUGCUUCCUUACAGCUUCCAAGCUUUGAAAAGGAUGGCAUCUCUCAUUGCAAUAUAAGCACAUGAAGUCCCUCCUCACCUGGGGAGGGAAAAGAAGCAAUUGGAGGUUUCAGUCAGCAAGACUUCAUAAACAAGAUCUCCAAAGUACAACAUUCAAAAGAUGCAAGUCUCCUCGUUACCUUAAGACCAACAUAUGUAAGGAGGCCCUUAGGGUCCUUCAGAUACUCGACAUCAGGUAUGAAAAACCCAUGCAGCUUAUGCAUGUGAACCAUGCAGCUUUCUAUGCCAUGAUGCUUUUGGUCACAUAUAAAACAGCAUGAAGGGUCCAAGUCUUCAACUUCAUCCAUGCCAUCAGAUUGGUCAGCACCAGAGCCAGAAUUUUGUUCAUUUACAUGCAGAUUAGUCAGAGAUUCAGAUGCCAUUUCCAACUCGUCAUCUGGGUCGACCUCCACCCAUUCAUCAUCACUCUCUUCACUUUCUUCGUCAUCCAUUUCUCUCACAGUGGAGGACUGGCUUGGCAAUGCUGAUUUGUUUGGCAUGCGCCCAGUAAUUGGCUUAAUUAUGGUAAUUCCUGCAAUUGCAGGAUCUGAUUCUUGAGAAGCUUUCAUAGCAUGAGCUCGUGAUUUGAGAUGCUGAUCAUGAGCCUUGGAGCUCCUAUACUCCUUCCCACAAAGAGCACAACCAUACAACAUUGCAGUUGCACUCAACUGGUUUCUCUCUUCAGCUAGGGCCGACUGCCUAGCCUGAAAUAAUGCUUCAGUCACCCCUGGGACUCCCGCUACCUGAAGCAAAUAAACAGUUAAUUUAUAAUGAAAUUUUUCUUUGUGAGAAAACCAAUAAUAUUGUAAGAAAAGCAAAUUGAAGCACCCCUAUAUAACCAUUAAACAAGAAUAACUGCAAAAGAACAUGAUAAUCAAGGGCUUCCAAAAUAAAAUAAUUCAUCCUAUAAAUAUUAAAUAUCAUACUAUCAUGUGACAAAUGUAUCAACUAAGCAUCCCAUCUUUCCUUAACCAGUCAGAUGAUUUGUUUAUUCCAAUUAUGAACAAAAAUUAAAACACAGAGGUUAAAUUCUUAGAUUAAAAUGUAAUACAAGGUCAGAUGAUGUAGCCUAAACAAGGCCCCUAAAUAAUAACUCUCAGCUAUACAGAUUCAGAACCCUAGAGCCCAUUACUACAGUUGACAGGCUGUAGCCAGCAGCUGGACAAAAGUAGAAAGCUGCUGAUAGCAAAAUGAAGUUCAAAGAUCUAAAAUAGAGCAAUUUGGCAACAUCCGACUAUACAAGCUAAUGAGUAGCAAUAACGACAACCUGACACGAAGAAAACAUUCAUCAUCAUGGUCACAUGACAGUAGCAGGCUCAGAUAAUCAAGAGGUAUUUAAAACAAAAUUUUGCAAGUGUUAUCUCUGCUCUUCAACUCAAAAACUUAUCUAUCUCAUUAAUUUUACACUACCAGGAGACAGCUCAUGCAACAUAUAAGAAAACCGAACAGCAUGAGAAGUUCAGUUACAUUAUUCUGUAUCCCUGGUUACAAAAUUAAUAUCCGAAGAGAGAUGAGUUCCCCAAUUGUCAUGACAUCCCCGAAGAUAUCCUAAAUUGCAAGUCAAGUGAAAAAGCAACAUGCUAAGCAUAAAGAAGGGGAAAUCAAGAAAAAGAUCCCCAUUAAUACAGAGUAGCAGGGACCCUGGAACUCUCAGCAUGAAACCAAGAAUCUAUAUACAUUGUAGUGCCAGGAAAAUGGCAGCAGGUUUGCAGAAAUGAGAACUGAGAAGGGAAAAUUAUUCCAGGAAUGUAAAAGUAAGAGUAGAUGGCCUCAUAAAUGUACACAUGAACAUAUGCACUUUAAUCCAACAUCCUCUAGGGCAAACCUAAGAAUAGCAGGCAAAGUUCUUCAGCUUAUCGCAGAAGAUGCUAACAAUAACCAUUAAAUUCGCAAAAAGAAGUCACUCAUCUCUAACUUCUCACUCAUGGUUAGCGUGCAUAUAUCCUGUUCAUGAUUUUGAAUAAUGUGCAAUGCAAUAUGCAAUCAAAUAUUUCAUGAAAGCAUAACUUAGAAAUACCAUGUACAUUUACAUUUACCUCGAUUAUAUGGAGUAACUUUGUCAUAAAGCUUCUGUACUGGAUUUUUUUUUCAAAAAACAAUAAUUACAAUUGUAUUUGACCAUCAAGUUGCAGAACAUGAAGAUCCAUGUCAAGAGUUGAGUGGCAAAACUCCCAAAAUCACUCUAUCAUUUCAUUGCACAUUUUCUCAAUGAGGUCAAAAGAUGCUUCUAGACUGUAUCAGCCUUCCUAAGUCUAUAGUCUUAGAUAACAGUACCCGGACCGGGGGAAUAUAUUCUAUCGAAGUUCAGGCUUAGUAAAAUUUUAGCACUCUUCCAGUCCAGCUGAUGCCACAAACAAGUUAAGGAGAAAAAUUGAGGAUUGACAUUUGAAACCCAAUGGUGGGGCUCCGGCGAUGUCCUAAAGGGGCACAGGGGACAAGUCACCAUCUCCGGCGACAAACGCCGGCAGCGGAGGAGGCCGGAACAGGAAGAACAAUAAGGAUUUUCGGAUCUAAAAACAGAGGAUAAACAGGGCUUUUUCUUCACAAUUUUUUCCGGCGAAACGUGGGCCGGCGACAAGGCUUAUGAACAAAGAAAUAGAGGAGAAGAAGAUCAAGGCUCUUACCUGUGAUUCCGGCGAAGGAUUGGCUACGUUUUCCGGCGAGCACAAGGUAUGUCAACCGGAAAUCAAUCCACACCCACUUAAUUCGCAUACAAGACGUAAAGAAAAACCCUAAUUGGCUAAAAGCUGGAAACACCCCCAAAUCCCUAACCCGAUGAAACAAGUCGAAGGAAAAGAAGAAAUUUAUAAAAUCGAGAACCCCGAUCGAAGCGAAUCGAAAGAUACCAAACCCUAGCCCUAGCAGCAAGGAUGUACGGAUUUACUACCUUUCUCUUGAGGUUGUAGCGGUGCCAUUCAGAUCGGUAAUGAAGCUUCUGCUCCACCUCGUCCUGGAACUCCUUGUUGCACGCGUUGCACGUCAAAACCGGCAUCUCGAUCCCGAUCUCGAUCUCCUGCCUCUUCCUCUUCGAUUUCUCUCCUCCUUAUUCGACGUCAGUCUCCAGAGGAUGCGGGAAGAGGAAUCUGAGGACACCUUUGGUCCAGGGGAAAAACCCUUUUACAUAUAUAGAGGGGCGGCGUCUCGGAAUGAAGGAUACGCGGGGAUGACGGCACGUGGCGGCGAGGCGGUUCGUUCGAAGCCGAAAUCGGAUCAGGACCGCAGGAUGCUUGAGGGACGACGGAGAAAUAAGUAAUCAGAUCGGGCGGCUCAAUUUUUUUUAAAAAAAAUGAGGUUAGUUGGGUCAUUUUAGCUGGACCGGGCCAGCCAUAAUUGUUUGUGUUGGGCUGGUCUUUCUCAGUGUCCAAUUAUUGAUGAGAGGAAAGAAAACUAUUUAUUCAACAUUCAAAAUAAAAAAAUUAGUAAUGAAAAUUCUAAAACAAAUCGUUACUAUUAAUGUUAUCAUCAAGAAUACAACCUCGUCUUGAUCCAGUCUUCAAUAUACAAAUAAAUAAUGUUUAUAUGCCACCAAUUAUUUGAUGUUUUUUUUGCCCAUCCAUAUAUGAUAUUAUUUUCUUAUAGUUUAUGCUGGUUGUAAAAAAAUAGAAAAAAAAAGCUUAGGAGUAAAUUUUUUCAUCAAACGGUCCUGUUAAUUCUGUGUUCUUGUCCAUCUUUCCCCAUUAUAAAUUUAUAAUGGCAAAUCUCAAACACUGUAGCAUUCUACUUUAUUGUUAAAUAAACGUAAGAGUACUGAAUUGCAAAAAAAUGGCUGUUGUUCAAUUCUUCUCUAAAAGGCUGACCGUUUUCUUUUUCUUUUAUAAUGGAAAGUAAUAUUUUGCUAGCAUUCUGUUGUUUUUUUUUUUUUUUUGUUUAUAUCGGCUACUCACACUAAUUUCACACAAGCAUUACCAUCAGAAGCAAGAAAAAGAAUAUGACACAAAGGUAGAGGAACAAUUUUGCUAGACAUUGGUGUAGCUGAAACAUUACUUUGCUACAUCAGACCUUUUUUUUCCCUGAUAGUUUGCUGCAUGAGACCUUUGUUAGCUCAUAAGAAUCGAGCCACCGCGAUGCAACGUAUGGCAUUUCAAGCUAAAAUAUCUCCUCCUAAGUUGCUUGCUUCUGAUAUGGUUAGAGUAAGAACAUAAUGAAGGCUAGGCUACCGAAUUGUCCUCUUAGUUAGAGGUGUUUUAGUUGAACAUUCUCCAUUUCCUUGAUGUGGUUUUUUGUUAAUUUUCAGACUCGAUCCAGGUCUUUGAUAUCAAACAUAAAUAGAUAUGUAUGGAGAUAUAUGGUAAAGCUAUGACUGAGCAAUUGCUCCAUGUCAUGACGCCAUGGCAAUGGACUUGGCAAGAAAAUGCAAAGGUUGUAUGGAGGACAAUUAUGAUGUUCGCAAUGGCUAAAAACCAUUUGAGUCAAGGAAUAAGUACUUGAAAUUUUUUUUGGAAUCAGAGUAGUGAAUUAAAAGAAUGCUAUCUGAGUCGAGUCAUGCAGGUCUUGUUCCAUGAAGAUUAAAGGAGGCUAAUUAUGAUGAGGUGCUGAAAUUUCUACUAUUAAUUAAAUUUGAUGAAUUCUUGAUGGACGAGAAAACCAAAAGUUAUGGAAUCAUGAUGGUUCAAGAUAGAGGACUUAAAGCAAAUAUCAUGAAAUGAACGGCCCAAAGUAGAGGGCAAAAAAUAAAGAGGAAGAAGAAUAGAAAAAAAGAGGGGGAACAAAGAAAAACAAAGGAAAGAAAUGUCCCAUAAAAAAUGAGCCAAAUCUGCAAGACUAGCUGAUAUGAUGUAGCCAAUAAUGAUCUUUUGUGUCCAAAAGAUCAGAAUGCAAUCUUCUUCUUUUUUNNNNNNNNNNNNNNNNNNNNAUCAGAAUGCAAUCGAUCAAUGCUUCAAGGCAGACAGCCAGCGUCACCAUCACCGCUAAAACAACUGACUGCUACUGUGUACAAGGACUCAAACUUGAAAGGGCCCCAAUUGAGAAGUUCCUUGUGGACAUCCAAAGAGAGAAGCCUGCUGGAUUUACACCUCAGGAUCUGAUUAAUUUCACUCAGAACUAAUGCGGAGAGAUGGGGUUCAGGUGGUUUUGGAGCAGUUUACAAGGAUAGACAGUUCCCUGAUGGGGUCUAGGUUGCAGCUAAGGUCCUCCAUGGAACCUUGAAUAAAAGAGCUGAGGAGCAAUUCAUGGCAGAAGUUGGCACGAUUGGAAGAACUUAUCACAUCAAUUUAGUCAGGCUCUUUUGAUUCGGUGUCAAUAAAUGGUGAAAACACUAGUAUACUAGUCCAUGGAGAAUGGAUCACUUGACGAAUACUUAUUUGAUGAGGUCCAGGGGAUUGAAUGGGGAGGUCACAGAAGAUUGCAACUGGAAUCAGAUACUGAAGGAGGGUCAAGUGAAGAUAGCCCAUUAUGACAUAAAGCCAGCUAAUGUUCUUUUCAUUGCAAACUUCUCUUCCAAGGUUGCAGAUUUUAGAUCGGCAAGCCUUCUUUGCAAUAGAAAGAACUAUCAUGUCACAAUAACUGGAGGUAGUGGGGCUCCUGGCAAUGCUGAAUCAGAGAUAUGGAUGCCAUUACCUGUGACUCGUAAGUGCCAUGUCUCAAGCUUUGGCAUUCUUCUAUCUGAGAUCUUGGGAAGGAGGAACCUUGAUACACAGGCUUAAGAGUCAGGAGUGGUUCCAAAAAUGGGGCAAAUGGAAACCAUAAUGUUGCAUUCUGGAAUCCAAACAAGGGAUCGAGGGAAAGGCAGAUGGAACAUGCAAAGUAGAAUUAUGGUGUGUUCAAUAUCAGCCAGAAGCAAGACCUUCGAUGAACAGUGCUUUGAGGUGGUGUAAGCGGGAAGAGCCAUGUCCAACAAAAAUCAUAUGGGGUGUAGAGUNNNNNNNNNNNNNNNNNNNNNNNNNNNNNNNNNNNNNNNNNNNNNNNNNNNNNNNNNNNNNNNNNNNNNNNNNNNNNNNNNNNNNNNNNNNNNNNNNNNNNNNNNNNNNNNNNNNNNNNNNNNNNNNNNNNNNNNNNNNNNNNNNNNNNNNNNNNNNNNNNNNNNNNNNNNNNNNNNNNNNNNNNNNNNNNNNNNNNNNNNNNNNNNNNNNNNNNNNNNNNNNNNNNNNNNNNNNNNNNNNNNNNNNNNNNNNNNNNNNNNNNNNNNNNNNNNNNNNNNNNNNNNNNNNNNNNNNNNNNNNNNNNNNNNNNNNNNNNNNNNNNNNNNNNNNNNNNNNNNNNNNNNNNNNNNNNNNNNNNNNNNNNNNNNNNNNNNNNNNNNNNNNNNNNNNNNNNNNNNNNNNNNNNNNNNNNNNNNNNNNNNNNNNNNNNNNNNNNNNNNNNNNNNNNNNNNNNNNNNNNNNNNNNNNNNNNNNNNNNNNNNNNNNNNNNNNNNNNNNNNNNNNNNNNNNNNNNNNNNNNNNNNNNNNNNNNNNNNNNNNNNNNNNNNNNNNNNNNNNNNNNNNNNNNNNNNNNNNNNNNNNNNNNNNNNNNNNNNAAAACCACUUUAGUGAUAGGUAUUAUUUUUCCAACUCAUGUUAUUAUUAGGUAUUUUUGUUUUUUUCUAACAUGAAAAUUCUUCUCCCUCCAGCCCCUAGAUGUAAUAUACCUAAAGAUCUGUUAUGUAUGAAACCCUAGAAAACCCAAGCAGUGUUAUCCAGGUGAUAAAUCCAAUAUAGAUUUCUCUUUUUUUAGUUCAUAGAUAAGAUCUAUAAUGCUGCACCAAAAGUUCGUUGUACUAUUAUUUAUUAUUUUAUAGGGCAUAUCGUACCACACUACUAUUAAACCGAGGCUCAGUACGAAGGGCAAAUCAAAUCUCAGUAUGUGAAGCUGGCACCAUACUAAACAUACGAAUAUUGCACCAGCAUGGUACUGAUAUCGGGUCGGUAUCAAGAUGAUCCUUCUUUCAUGAUGAUCAACUGCAGUAGGGGAACGGAAUUCACAUUUCCCGGAGAGAAGAGAAAAUUGUGUAGCACAAAUCAUCACCAAAUUAAUAUUGUGAUGUUGGAACAUUUAGUACAACAAUGAAUUUUAAAUGUACAAGCACUUCACAAUGAUUUACUUACUCCUUUCACUAACUUCUUUAGCCUCUGCUCACCCAGAUGAACAGCUUGUACUUCCACUCCGUAGAACUGAGCCUGCAUUGUACCAGACCAUGUGAGCAAAUGGGUUUGUAGGUGGCAUAAUUUCAUCUUCCCCCUCCAACAUCCUCACCACGCUACUCAUUGAAGGUCUUGCUUCCGGUUGAUACUGAACACACCACAGUGCCACCUUACACAUUCUCUCUGCCUUCUCUCCAUCCUUUUGUUCAAUUCCAGAGAUAUUUAGUAUUCUCUCCAUUUGCCCCUCUUGAAGCCUCUCCCAAACCCAUUUUGGGAACCACUCUUGACUUUCGGUAUUCUGGAAAUUGAGAUUUCUCCUCCUCCCCAAGAUCUCGAACAGAAGCAUCCCAAAACUGUAGACAUCACAUUUAUGAGUCACGGGCAAUGGCAUCCACAGCUCUGGCGCGGCAUAACCAGGAGUUCCCCUGGCUCCUGUCAUCGUGACAUGAGUGCUCUCUCUGUUGCAGAGCUUUGCCAACCCAAAAUCAGCUACCUUGGGAGAGAAAUUUGCAGUGAGAAGAACAUUUCCUGGUUUUAUAUCAUAAUGGACUAUCUUCUGUUGACACUCUUCAUGUAAGUAUCUGAUUCCCUUGGCAGUCCCGAUUGCUAUCUCAUGUAGCCUCGCCCAUUCUAUGCUGUGGUUCUCAUCAAAUAAGAACUUGUCAAGCGAUCCAUUCUCCAUGUAUUCGUACACCAGAGCUUUAUCUGUUGUCUCAAAGCAAAAUCCAUAUAGCCUGACUAGAUUGAUAUGAUACGUUCUGCCUAUGGUGCUCACUUCUGCCAUGAACUGCUCCUCUGCUCUCCUAUCCAAUGUUUUAUGGAGGACCUUAACUGCCACCUGCACGCCAUUAGGAAAUCGUCCUUUGUAGACUACGCCAAAGCCACCUGAGCCUAGUUUCUCUGAAUAGUUUCGAGUGAAGUCUUUCAGAUGUUCAGGAGUAAAUCUCAUGGGCUUCUCUUUCAAUAUGUCAUCAAGGAACCUGUUGAUUGAUUCCAUUUCAAUCUUCCAAUCCAUGUUCAAGGUAGAAGCAAGUGGUGUAGUUGCAGUGUUGUCUCUUCUUGUCUGCAUCAAUGCAUUGUUCAAUUUUGUUUUGUUUAUCUCGACACAUUUGUAGAUAAAAUAGGCUACGGCAAUUGCCACUGUGCCUGCUGCAAGUAUUGCAACUGAAAGAAUCGAAGGAAAUGUGACUGAGAAUUUGACACAUUGUGAAGUAUUCAUGUGAGAAUUACAUCAGGAAUUAGAGUUGGCUUACUGAUGGAAAUGCCUGCAGGAGGGCCAGCCAUAUCUGUAAAGGGUGGAAAGAAAGGAGAGGGGUUUAAUAUUAGAAUCUGCAGCAAUAGAACCAAAGUUAGGUUAAAACACAUGGAAAGUAUACUAGUGGCACCAAUGUGGGGGGAGUCAAAAUCUUCUUCUUUUCUUCCUUUCACUACUUGAACGUUUGUACUGUAGUAAUUUGUGUGUCUAAAAGGACUUACAUUUCUUGAUGGGAAAAGUAGAACUAGCUAUAUUGCUAUGCCUAGUGGUAGUGGUACUGGGAUUGAUGAAUGUCCUUGUGUUGCAUGAUUCUCUCUUUAUAUUGUCUUUAUAUCCUAUCUCAAGGAAUUAUGACCAUGAAUGAUCUGUAUUUGAUUAAAGAUAAGCGUCUUUGGGAACCCACUUAAAUAUUUAACUAUCAAAUCUCAAGUAACUCAUUACAAAUUUUGAUAAGACUUUGAUCAAAGACUUGUGUACAUAAUAUGAAAAUGAUUCAUAUGACUACGGAAGCCCUUUCAGAACUUAGGGAGGACUAGAAACAGUUGAUCGUUAGAUUUAGGGUAGAACACUUAGAUGUCGUGGCAUAUUUAGAAGGCAACUGGCAAGCAGUCAACAGCCAAUUUGUUAGGCAUGUAACUAACUAUUUGAAAAGGGUCAAGUCUUUGCAAACCUGAACUAAUUGCUGAGCUUCUUUUCCCUUUUCUUUUUUUUUUCUUUUUUUUCUGUUUCUCCUUUUUGAUGAUCGCUGCAGGCUUGUGUUUCACUAAGUUAUGUUCCAUGUGCCUUUUCUUAAAUUUUUCUGUUGUUGAUAAAUUGAUAUUUGUAACUUCAAUUUUCCAUUAUUUUGAUAUUUGUAAACUUUAUUUGGUUUGGAGGAUUUUCCAUUUCUUUAUUUACUUAAGUCAGUUAGGAAGAUGAGAAGAAGAUGGCAAGAAAGAAAAAAGAUAAAAAACACAAAGUUAUGGUGAUAGUUUAAUAAAAAGUAGAGUCACUGAAUUCAAGUAAAUAAAUAAAUAAAUAAAUAAGUAAAUAUGUAUGUAAAUAAAUAAAUAAAAUAUGAAUUUACACCUCUAUCCAGCCGAUCACAAAUCGUUGGGAAAAGACAUAGAUGAUGAUGAUUUAUGAUUUAUUACUGUUUCCAGAUAGAAGGAAAUAUUAAAUAGCUAUUUAGAAGUACUUAUCAGAUAGAUUUUUCAGAACAAUUAAUGGAAAAGUUCUUGCCUUAAACAACUGUUACUCCAAAACUUCAAAAUCAGGACACACUAUUGCCUCCCCUUCUCAUCAACUUACUUUCUUAUUAACUUUGGUGAUGGAUGGUCAAGUAGAACGAUACUAAGAAGAACUACAAGAUCUUGGUUGAUCUCUUUCCAAAAAGAUGUAAACUCACCUGUGCAAAUGCUUCUUGUUUGUUGGACUAUAGAUAGCUCGUUACUCCAUCCUAGGAUUGAGUUAAGUGAAAAAGGAAAAAUCCAAAUGUUUCCAUUCUAUGUUCUCUACUUUGUGCAUGAUAUUUGCAGUGUAAUUUGAUAGAAGAGAUGGUAGGUUGAGAGCCAUGGCAAGGGAAGUGACUCUAGUGAGGCUUACCUGCGUGUUUUUUUCCUCCCUCCUGCUAUCUACUUAAUUCACAAGUUCAAUUCUGGUUGAAGUUCAGAUGAUCAAACGCCAGCUUGGUAAAGCAUAACUUCGUAUUCAUAAAUAUGUGAAUUCUGUAAUGUUGCAUGCAUAGAUAUUAGCCAUCUGUAUGUUCUCAAUUAAAAAGGUAACAGAAUUCUGUAAUGCUCGAGCACCUUGAUCAGUGUUGUGUGUUUACCUUGUGGAGCCCGUCCUAUGCUCGCCUGAAGAAAGCACGCAAACUUUUAUGGUUUCCUCUGACAACCACACCACCCGGCCGAAGCCUUUCCCGGGUUUCCUCUGAACAACAGGAGUUCAUAGCCCCCGCAGUUUUUCUCGGUUUCUGAGCAGCUUCUUGAAAAGAACCAAGAACCGAACAAAAAAUAAUAGGAAGUUGAUCGGAUCCCCUUGUAUUACGUUUGAUGUGACGUGGUUACGUCCUGACGAUUGAGACUGUCGAUGGACUUUUAUUAAUAAAAGCUAGUUUUGUCCUUUUAAUUGCUGCUGAUGACUUUCUCCGGUAUCACCUGUCCCAAAUUUUCUAUGUAGCUUUGACGUUGGACUUUUAGUCAUGAUGUGUAAAUGUUAUGCGUGGUGACAUUUAAUUCGAUGUAGAUGGUCAACAGCCGAGGUUAGUCAACAGACUGGCUCUUGAUCAGAGAAUUCCUAGAGAUUGCCUGGUCUUUGAAAUUGAAGAAGAAAUAUCAUAACAAAAGAUAAAUAUUGUAUUCGAAAACAAACACAUCAUCUAGGUUCAUUCGGGGGAGCAACAAUGGAUAUACCAUCCCUCAUCUGUUCUUGCUUAUGCACAUGGCCCCCGCAUGACCAGUUCAGAGUUGACAAAUUAAACUUGACCUAGCACUAAUGUGUAUUGUUGCUGAAAAUUGGACCCGGAGGUGAUCGUGGAUUGAGGAGGAGGAGCUCUGGCUGGUUGUGCGGUGGCGGACGGCUGUCUCCGACGGAUCUGCAAGAAGCUUGUGGCCGGAGGUUCCGGUGCAGGCCCUUCGAUGCUUAAGUCAGAGAGAUUUGAAUAGAGAGAAGUAAUGGAGAGGAAUGAUAUAAGGAUGCAUUUUUGGCCGGGGAGGAAGAAGAGAGCCCCGCCUUGAGCUUCACCCCCCUUUUUUAUAGGAGGGGGUGCAGCGGUUACCUGUGAUCGCGCGGAUCAAUGAGUUACUAUAAACGGUUCGAGAUUUCGAGCUAGUUGGCGAUCCCUUGAGAUCGUGUGCAUUCAAAUGUUGACAGCUGUUGAGGCGAAGAUCGCGGGAUUUGAUCCCGGAUAUGGAGGACUUGAUUUUCGAUGGAGUGGGGAGGUCUGCUUCUCCCUUUGACUGAGUCUUACUUGGCCUUGAGGUCGAUCGGGCUUAACUCUGCCGAGACCAUGCCUGCCGAGGUUAUGCUGAGAUCGGGGUCGUGAGCUCUGGGAUUGUCGGUGCCGAGGACCUCGGGCGCUUUGAGAUCGGGCGCUUUGAAAUCGGGCGCUCUGAGAGUAUGCUUGUUGUCGUCACGUUCGUCAUCAAGUGCCGGCAAUUUGACUACAUGUUUUGGGCUAUAAGACUAAAUAAUGGGACAUCGCUAGAGCUAGUUUUAAUUGUUUUAGAGCAAUAACUUGCAGCUUGCAAUACAACAUUUAAAAUUGGUGGAAAGGAUACAAUGGUUAACUUGUAGCAUAGCAUUGUGAGAACGCCAGCUUGAGGUCAUCACCUAAUCGCUUGGCAGGUUUGAGAUUAGCAGGAGUUGAAUCUAGAUUUGUUGCAAGUGUUAUGGCCUAGACUUGACCAUUUGAUCUAGUGUUUUUGUCAUCUCUUGUUGAGGCCAUUUAAAUUUUGAUUUGUGUGAGCUUAAUUAUACAAACUUAGCACUUGGCUACGACUCAUUGGUCCGGUUAUUCAAAUGGGUUUAAUCUGUAAUUACGUCUCCGUAAGAUGGGUUUAGGAACCAACAAGAAAAGAAAAGAAAAGGAAUUGAGAGGGAGAGAUUUGGAACGCCAGCAUGAAACAGGUUGUGAGCUUCGUGAUUGGUCCGAACGUCACCGGUUCCACCUCAGGAGAAAAGGUAACGUGAUCAAUCCUUUUUGCUUGGGUUAGGGUUUGUGCUGCCCCUCCGGGAUCGUCGUAAUUUUUAUGUCCGUUGCUUAUUAUUUUUAAACACUAUUUGUUUCUCGGCUUAGUACGUGCAUUUAAUAGCAUGUUCCUUGAUUUCUUGGUUAUUUCUUAAUAAUUAGAACUUCAAUCAAGGUAAUUUCUGGUAAAUCUGUAGAUGAUGGGAGCUUUGAUACUUCAGAGGGUAACUUUUUUUUUUUUUGGGCAAGACAUAAACAAUAAAAGCUUUGUCCUGUCAGUGUUGGUCUUCUGAAUCUUGUUCUCACAUCAGUCCUUAAGAAUGUCCAAGGUUUGUGGGAGAGUAAUUGUUUCAACUUAAUUUUUAUGUUGAUUUAUCUCCGAAGCGAACCACCCCUCCUCAUGAAUGCCUUCUUAAGGGAUCUGCCCCAUCUUUUUCUUCUGGGAUAUACAAAAAAAAUUAGUGUCCUCAUGGUGCAAAAACACAAGCGUUGAAACGAUACUUUCGAACCAGAGGAGAGUCUAAGUCAAACAUUUCUGCCUUGAAGAGAGAAAAUAUCAAGAUGAUAAAUUUAAUUUAUGAGUUUAAGAUUGCUUCAACUUUCAAGUGUCUAUCCAAUUUUAACUAAAUGUCAUCUGUAUCAUGAAGUGAUAUGUUUGCUACAAAGUCUUCACACAAUUAUUUCCUAGUCGUUAUGUUUGGUUUUUCAUGAGUUUUUCUGUCCAAUUUGCAUGCAUCUAUUGUAUAAAUUGAAGACCAUCUUCGGUGAGGCUUGGGCUGAAGUGUUGCUUAGCAGUUGCUUUUAAAUCAAAAUUUGUAAAUUGAGAUGUAUGAUUAUGACUUGAAAGAACCUGAAAUCUACCAAUUUGGAUUCGCGCGCCAUCAAUGCCUAACAAAUGAUUAUAUAUAGAAACAUGAAGUUUUUCACUGGGAGGGAGAAAAAGAGGACAAGGGGGCUGUACUUUUUGGCAUGCAAGCUGCUACCUUUUUUUCUAAUCUAAAUCUAAUAUACCCUGUGGAAAGGCAUUAAAUAGUACUAGUAAUUACGUAUGCACAGAUAUUUCAUGAUGAACAUUUCACGAUCAUUUUCGGCAGUCCACGGCUCAUCGAGUCUCUCAUACUUUCACUCCGGGGAGUUGAACCUGCAUGAAAUGAGGUCAUGUAUUAAAUGGAUUUAAAGGUGCAUCAAUAUCCUCGUCAUCCUCCAACACUGUCACAACAGGGCUCAUUGAAUGUCUUUGUUUCUGGAUGACAAUGAACACACCAAGCAACUACCUUGCACAUUUUCUCUGACUUUUCUCUAUGCUUUGUUUCAACUCGUGAAAGAAAUAUUACAUUCUCCAAUGCCUGACCAGAUUGAUAUGGUAAGUUCUGCCAAUUGUACUGACUUCUGCCAUGAACUGCUCCUCAGCUCUCUUAUCCAAGGUCCCAUGGAGGACCUUAACUGCUAUAUGCAUUCCACUGGGGAACUGUCCCUUGUAGAACCCACCUGAUUCCAGUUUAGCCAUGUAGUUAUAGGCGAAAAUUAUCAAAUGCUGGGUAGUUAACCCCAUUGGCCUUUCCCUCAUGAUGUUGUUAAGGAACCAACUGAUUGUUCCUCUCUCACUGUGCAGAGUGUGGCUCCACUUAAGAGUAUGCCGUCUGGUUGCAGUUUUGCCACUAAUUAUUCGACUCAGCUCAUUGACUGAUUGCAUUUUAGACUUGCGAAUACAUCUGAUGAUCAAAAUGGCUAUCAUAGUCACUGCAACUCCCACAACUAUUGAAGCUGUGAAAAAUUAAAAGAAAUUUGGCGGAGUGAGAAUUCAGAAUUUAAAGAAAUGCAUCAAGCGUAAGGAAGCUCGCUUACUGGUGGCAACAACAAUAGCCACAGCUGGGAUUUUAUGUAUCCUAGAUGAUAUUAUGCAUUUUUGAUCUCAAUGUCUAACAAGGUGAAAUCAAACCCAAAGUAAGAAAAGGAGCAUACCAAAAGUAAGAAAAGCUCCAUGAAUUCUUCUUCAUCCUCUGUUACCACUGUUCUAUCUGAAUGAAGCCUACUUAUCCAAAUGAACAAUCUUAGUCUCCAAGAAUAAUCUUAUUGUAUCAGUUUUAUACACCCCAAUUUUUUCAACAUUCAUUUCCAUCAAAACCCAAUUUGAAUUGUAAAUUAGGUGUCAUCCCUUCAUUGCAGAUUUCAUUGACAAGUAUAUAGUAGUAGUAGUAAGAUAACCACAAUAAAAAACCUGGCAGUGCUAAUUAGUUUUUCCUACAGACAGUUUAGUAAGUUUGUUUUUAUAUGCUUUUUGCCACUUCUGUCUAAAACAAUAACCCCCGUGUAUUUUGCUGUUGUUUGUCUCAAACUACACAACUGUGAUAUUAUGAUUCUUUUCUUUUCUUUUUUGGCAAUCAUUUUCUCCAUUUCUUUUCUUCAAUAAUUGGGAAAGAAUAUGAUGAAGAAGAAGACAGAGGAGUAAAGAAAUGAAAACAACAUGUUGACAAUUUUAUGGUACAGAUAAGAUGGAAACUAGCUUGCUAAACUUGGUAUGUUUUACUUGAAAGAUAAUUGGAUGUAAAUAUUAGUUAAUGACAAUUGAACCUCCAACAAGUUGUUUUCUGUGGUAACCCACCCACCGUCCAUGGAGCCAAGAAAUCAUUGAAUAUCAAGCUCGGUCAUAUUGGCUCUGCAAACCUCAAUUAUGCAUAACAGCACCUUGGCUGUUGUAUCUAUAAAUCCCAGAGUACUUCAAUUGGAUUCAUCCUCCAAAUGGAGCAGGGAUCUGAUUACUUAAGACUAGAUCUAUCAGAUGAUCUAGGUGAAGAGUAAAAUAGAGGAUAAGCUACAGCGAUAGAGGUGGUACCUGCCUGCGUGUUUGGUACAGUCACACCUGAAGGUAUAUCUUUAUUCUUCUCCUUGGCUUCUUCCCGCUGGUGCUUGUGGACUAAUUCCAUUUAAAAAAUCUAAGAAGUUGUUGAAGUUUCUCUGUCUCUCCCUUGAAUAAUGCAAUGGUUAGUUAUUGGAUUUCUUAUUUUCAAGGGAAAUGUUAGUCAUUAGCUAUUGCUACAAAAAUGAUGCUUAAUGAUUAAGUAUUGCUUUGGCAUUGUGUAUAUAGAAAUAUCUAUUUAGACAUCUGAAUACCAUUUUGAUUGUGAUGAUCAUGCCAAUCCUUCCCCGUUGGAAGAUGGCAUAUAAUUUUUAGGUGAGCCUCCACCUGUUGGUGUUCUGCUUCAGAUAGAUUCCCACCCCUUGUGAGUCAAAACAGCAUGUCGUCUGACUGAAAAAUCAAAACCACAUUAAGAUCAGUCAAUCAUUCAACAAAACGUUGAAAAGUCAAAACCACAUGUAAAAUGCUUUCCCAUGAAAACAUUGCUGGUCAUUUUAUCGCUUGGCUUCUUUGCUUAAGAUAGGCCAGCAAUAGGAGAAAAAUGUGUAAUGGUUGUAUUAAGGAUGAUAGUAAAUCUAAAAAGUUAGGAAAUUAUGUAAACUCUUUUUUUCCCUCUUUCCUCGUUACUGUCCAUGAUAGUUUCGAGGACUCGGAAGAUGGAUUCAGAUGAGGGAUGGAAGGAAUGAGAGAGGGUGGGGUCAUUAAUGAUGCUGUUGCCCAUGUACAGUGCCUGCGAAAAGAAAAUCUUAGGGCAAAAAAUAGCAUGAGAAAGGUAACCUAUCCAUUUUAACUUAAUGCUUGUGAAAUUAAUAGUGGAUUUUCUGAUUCUUGACUUUUGAUGAUAUCGAAAAUUGUUUGUAUAUUAACAUUGUGGGAGUCAAUGUUGUGAUCAUAUAUCACGUUAAAGUGUUGUUUUUUUGCCGUAUAUUUCUUUUUCUUUUCGUCCUAUGAAUUCUAUUUUUCAUUUUUCACUUACUGAUCCCCAGUCAAGGCCAAAAUUUGUGAAACAAGAAGCUUCAUCAUAUAAUUUUUCACUAACUCCAUGCAAGUUUGCUAGUCUUUUGUUUUUCGCUUUUUUUAUUUUUUUCUUUCCUCUCCAAUUCAAGAACUGUCCUUCAUCAGGGCAUAUGCCUGAUCUUCAAUGAAUACCAUUGAAGUCAUCUCAAAUGUUUUGCUUGCUUUUCUUCCACCAUUGUCAAUGUAGCCUUCUUAUAGAGGUUUAAUAAACCGAAAAUUAAGCAAGGUAAUUCAAAUAGAGAAACAAUGGGUCUGUCUUACAAAAAAUAACCUAUUAUAAAGUAUAAAAUGUAACUUUUGACAUCAUCAUGAUUGUCUAACAUAACUUUUUUUCCCUAAAGCCAUCCAAUUUAUUAUAAUAACAAUAAUUAGAAAGUGAGCUAAUUUAUGAAAGUAAGCUAGCUAUAAAACGAGAUAAUAAUAAAGUAAAUAGUUUAAUAGUUUAUCACAAUAAUACCACUAUGUGAUGAGACUGAUUAUAAUAGUGGUGGCUAAUUUAUGGCUGAAGAUGUUUUCAUAUUCAUCUUCCAUAUUCUAUUCUAUAACUGUGUUCAAACUCUUUAAUUCUAUUUUUUUCUCAAAUAUUAAACAACUGAAUGUUUCAGCAAAAAAAAAAUAAUAAUAACUGAAUGUCAUGUCAUGAUACCCUUAUUGCCCCAUUUAUAGUCGAUGGGCAUUAAAGAAAUUAAUAGAAAGGAGAGAAAAGGAAAGAAGAAUCAUUGGAGGUCGAAAGGUAGUAUAACGGCUAGCACAAUGAGAUAAAAUGUAGAAUAUCACAAACUGAGAAAUGAUCACUGAUGUCAAAAUAUCUGUUACAAAGACCAAGGCUAGCUUUUUUAUGAUAGCUUGGAUGUGCAAUAUCUAAGAUAUACAAAUACCACGUUCAAGAAACUAAAACCUAUUGAUUGACUUUCAUGGCUCGAGGAUAUAAUGUGCCAAAUCUAGUGCAUAUAAUAGAAUCUCAAGUCUGUUUAAAAAGAGAAGCUAUAUUUUCUGAUGUCCAAUCUGUGCCCUUUAGAAAAUGGUUUCAUUAGUUCGAAUACACAAGCGUUUCAUUAUGAACUACCCAGUUCACUGUCAUCUUUGGCAGUCUUUCUACUAGUUGAAACUCCUGUACUUUCACUCCACAGGGUUGAACUUAUGGCAUAUGAUUAUGAGGUCAUGUACUCAUGUAUUGAAAUGGGUUUAGGGGUGCAGCAAUUUCCUCUUCCUCCAACAUUCUCACAAUAUUGCUCAUUGAGGGUCGUGCUUUUGGCUGAUCCUGGACACACUGCAAUGCUACUCUGCACAUUCUUUCUGCCUUCUCUCGGUACUUUGUUUCAAUUCCUGAAAGCGAUAUUACAUUCUCCCAUUGCCCUUGCUCAAACUUCUGCCAAACCUAUUUUGGGUACCACUCCUGGCUCUCAAAUCUAGGUUCCUCCUCCUCCCCACCAUCUCAAACAAAAGCAUACCGAAGCCAUAAGCAUCACAUUUAUGAGUCACAGGCAAGGUAUCCAAAGCUCUGGAGCGGCAUAGCCAGGAGUUGCUCUGCCUCCUGUGAGCAUGCAAUGAGUGCUCUCUAUCACAAAGCUUUGCCAAUCCAAAGUCAGAAACCUUUGGGCAGAAGUUUGCAUUGAGAAGAAUAUUACCAGGCUUUAUGUCAUAGUGCAUUAUCUUCUGUUCACACUCCUCAUGUAGGUAUUUAAUUCCCUUGGCUGUCCCAAUUGCGAUCUCAUGCAGCUUUCCCCACUCAGCUCUGUUAUUCUCAUCAUAUAGGUAUCAAUCAAGUGACCCAUUCUCCAUAUACACCAAUGCCUUCACCGUUGGAUCAAGGCAGAAUCCAUAGAGCCUCACCAGAUUGAUAUGAUAAGUUCUGCCAAUGGUGCCAAUUUCUGCCAUGAAUUGUUCCUCAGCUCUCUUAUCCAAAGUUCCAUAGGACCUUAACUGCUACCUGUAACCCAUUGGGAAACUGGCCCUUGUAUGCUACUCCAAAACUACCUGACCCUGAGUGAACUUAUUAGAUGCUGGGGAGUAAAUCUCAUGGCCUUCUCUUUCAUGAUGUCAUUAAGGAACCUAUCCAUUGCUUCCAUUUUAUUUUUUGAAUUCAUGCUAAAGUUUGAAGAAUAUGGUGUAGUUGCAGUAUUGCUGUUGGAAAUUUGCCUUUGAGGGAUGUUGCAUUGUGUUUUCGACUUCUGAACAAUCUUAGAUCAGAAUAGUUAUCAUAAUUAUUACUGCACCUCCAACAACUGGCAGUGUUAGAAUUCAAUAAUUAGAGAGUUGCAUAAAGAGUAAGAGAGUUGGCUUACUAGCGGCGACAACAACUGCCCCUGCAGGGAUUUUAUCUUUGUUUGAUGACUGCGUGCUCUUUGAAGAACUUGACAUCUGACAUGCCAAACACAAAGUGAAGAUAAGUGNNNNNNNNNNNNNNNNNNNNUGUUAUACACAAACCCCCCCCCCCCCUCCGUCCUUGUUCAAGUUGCAUAAAACUAGGCUAGAUACUCUCCGUGGGAAUGAUCCUUACUUGCACUACUACAUAUAUAUUUUUAGAAGUAUAGCUUUUAUUUUUGGUUGCCUGCGACAGCACACCACAAGGCGAUCAAGGCAUCAUCAAAGUUCUCAAAGUAAAAAGGUAUGAGAUCUGAUCUCAUUAAAAAUUAAAAUUAGAAAUCAACUAGGUUGCUGAAACUCUGCAUGACUACAUGUUAGACAUAGAAUCAUGCCUACUUGUUUAGGAUAAAUGUUUAAAGUUCUGAAUCUAUUUUUAUUGUAGAGAUAUGAUCUCUAGCAUCCAUAGGAAUUAAAUAGUUUAAUUCAUGCUUCCGCUGUAAAAUUUUUAAAAAUAUAUGCAUGCGACCACCAGGGUUUCCAACAGUAGAGUCCAUGAUGCGUUCGCAAAAAUGUUUUCGUGAAACUAAUCUCCUAAGUAUAGGAGAAUCGUACAAGUAGUAAAUUCUCGAAAGUUCGAGGUCGAAUCCUCAGAGAACGAAAUAUAUAUGAGAUUAUUUAGUAUAAUUUCAGAUUAAUUAAUUCAAUAAAUUUGUGGAUUAAGAUGAUGUUUUGCAAAUAGAAAAUAAAUCAGUAAAUAGAGAAUCAAAGUUUGGAUAGAUUAAGAUGGUGUAGGGAUCCAGAAUCUCCUUUGAUAAUAUCAAAUUCAUGCGAUAAAUUCUAUGAUUCUUUUGUUUUUUUUCUUUAAGAAUUAUAAGGAGAUAAAAUUUAAUUAUGGAGUAUGUUCUUGAUAACACGAAUUCUCUUUUUAAGUAUUCAACGUGCCUUAUAACGUCAACGAUGAAUCAAAUAAUCGAGGAAGACAUGUAUCAAUAAGCAUAAAUCAUAAAAUAAUUUUCAACAUAUAAGAAUCAUGGCAUAAUCCAAAAGAUAAAUCGUAUAAAGCAAAGAAGUAGAAUUUACAUCAUGAACUCGGUACAUCAAAGGAUCUUCCUUCACCCAUCACCUAGUACUUUAGUCGAUCAUCUUCCUCUCUCUUUCUCACUCUUUUUUUUUCUUUUACUUUUUGGAAACAGGGCAUACCCUGUUUCUUCUUUUCUUUUCUUUUUUGAAUGGCUCCCGGCUCCUAUUUCGAAUGAGAGGUGGCCCCCCUCCAGCCGAGAGAUAUCCUAUAUAUCCCACUCUCCUCCUUAACGAAUCAAAUGAAUCUCCCUAAAUCUCGUUUGCUGUGAUUCGGCUGGGAACGUGGAAGGGAUGGAUGCCUGGGAGGUGAAGCAGAUGCGGUGGAGGAGGCGGACGGCUGGGCUUGAUCGUGAAGAGUGCUGGAGCGUGGACGCUUUGGCAUGCAUUGCGGGAAGGAGCUAAUAGCGGAAGAUUGCACACGGGAGAAGGAAUUGCUAAAAAAUGGGAUGCUCGGACGAUCACAAAUCCAAAAGCAGGAAGCAGGGGACUCGGGGGAUUCCUGAUUAUGUGGCCCGAUUGAGAAGGAUCGGGAUCUCUUCCACGCGGGUGGAUGCGGGGAAUUGGAUGUAGACGGCUGCAUCGUGAUCUUCUUCAAAUGGAUGCACGGGAUGAGACGAGAAGGAAACUGGACACGCUGUUGAUUUCUUUCUUUAUUUUGAAUUCCAAUGCAGAAUUCCAAUGCACUCUAGGGACUGUGACAAGUAGACAAGUGUUGCUCGGGCGCAAGUGUGCUCGACCAGGUUCAAUUCUGCUCCAGUGUAAUCAGGCUUGAAGUCAUGAAUCAUCCCAAUCUGUACCAAAUGCACAUUUAAACUCUGAUUUACGAUAAUCUGUGCCAAAUAAAAAUAUAAAAUUAAUGCAGCACUUUCAUAAUUAUUUGUUAGCAAUAAUAUUAAUUUAAGCAGUGUGUAGAUCGCACUUUUGUGCUCUCAUCAGUCCACUUUCCUUCGCUGAGGAAUUUGAUAUAUAGAACAUUCACAUAGGUUCUGAAAUCAUUAUGCUUAAAAAUAAUACAUUUGUUGCUCAGUCAUAUGUAUACAUAUCAUAAAUAUUGAAAAUCAUGGCUCCCGCGAGCCCUACUGCCGGCCACUCACAUGAGGCACCAUUCUCAUGAGUAGCCCGAUAGUCCUAUGCAUGGUGCUACUACUACGCCCUCCUAGCGUCCCAAUUCUGCUAAACUAGCACAUAUCAUUACUACGCCCUUCCGGCAUCCCAUUUCUGCCCUACUGGGCACAUAUCAUAGCUACGCCCUCCCAAUGUCCCAUCUCUGCCCUACUGGGCACAUAUCAUAAACUCUGAUAUGAUGUAUCCAAGGUAAAAGUGCAAAUAUUAGUUACUGUAACAGGGUUGGUGUCGACUCUAGAGUUACAGGGGUCGACUCGUGAAUUACAGGGGUCAACUCAUACUCUGCUAGGGUCAACUCCUGUUCUACUGAGGUCGACUCCAGAAUAGUUUGGAGUCAAACUGAAACGACUCUCUUGGCUGAGAUAAGGGGUUUUAAGUGGUUCAAUCACUUUGGGUUAAUCCAUUCCCAAACAAGUUAAUAAACUUACGAAUCAACAAACAUGAAUUUAAAGUAUUUUCAAGCAUAGCAUAUAUUUUCCAAAUCAGAUCAUUUAUCCACUGAUAGAAAGCAAUUUAAACAUGAGAAUUAAUACUUCUUAUUUUCAUUCUGUAGCAUAUUCAUUCUGAAUUUGGAGACAACAUUCAUUUCUCUGGAAUUACAAAAUAAACUACUAUAGUUAAGAAGAAAACCACUCACCUUGUGAUGGCUAACGCACCACCCUAGUGCUUGAUACUCCCGGCACACUUUCGGGACUCUUUUCUCCUCCUAAACAAUUAAAAGAGUCGAUCAAAAUUAUAACCUAUAUGAUGCAACAUGAUUAUGCAUAUUCCAAAAAGAAAUCCAACACCCUCAUCUCAACUUUCUGAUUUUUACCUUGCUUGUCUUGUUUUAGGAUAAAUAAAACCUCUCAAUUCUCAAAAGGUUUCCAAGCUUUUAUCUCCCUCUUUGAUACCCUGGGUUAGGAGUAGAAAACCUUCUAUAUCAUUUAUAAAUUUUCAGCCGCCAAACAACUACUUAACAUCAAAAAUAAAUCAGAAUUCAAAUCCCCUGUUUUCAGCUUGUUUGUUCUGUUUUCGAGCCAAUUAAACCUCUUAAUUUCCGGAGGUUCUUAAACAAUCAAUUCCACCUAUUAAGGUCUGUGUUAGGACUAGGAAAUCCCUAACACAACGUACAAACUUUCAGCUUUAAAUAACAAUUUAAUCACCUAUAACACAAAG